AUUUGUGGGUAUAUGUGAAAACUCUAGGAUUAGGACUCAGUCCUAAAGAUCAUCUGAGAUAACAACAAUAGGACUCUUCUAUAUGAAUUAAACACUUAGAACUAGUAAAAAAUUGCAUUAUUUUGCUGAAAGAAAAAUAAAAUAAAAACUCCUUAUAUACGAAACCAUUAGUGUGAACACAUAAUGUGAACAGAGAAACACGGCAUGGGCUUAUCCUUGAUUAUAAAUAGGGUAGCAGGUUCGAAGCUGUGGAGCAAGUAAAUCACACGAGAAAACGAGAAAGAGAGAAGAGGGAAGGGAGAAAAAAGAAGAGAGAAGUGAGAGUGAUCAUCCCAUUUAACAUGGCAGCAAUACCAAACCCUUUUGUUUGGCAAUCUAAACUCAACAACAGGUACUUGCGCUUAGAUGGAAAAAUCGAAAGUCAAGAGGGGAUUCUCGAAUUCACCGAAGAGGUUCCUAACCAUGUUUUCGAAACGGAGGAUCCACAGAUAUCUGGAUACGUGAAUAUCAAGUACCUUGAAAACAACUUAUACUUGACAGGGGUGAAGAGUAAAGCUGGUGAAAAAUCGACAUUGUUGAUCGUGGCCACUGCUGACACACCAAACAAUAAUAUGGAUGACAAACAUUGCACAUUGUUCGAGCUUGUGAAAUCCAAAUCAACCAACGAUUUCCGAGCGCGCCAUGUGCACAGCAAGCUCUUUUUAAGGCCACACAAGGUUAUAGAUGGUCAUGACGCUGUCCUCUGCGCAGAAAACCAAGACCCUAACCCUAUAGAAGUGGAUAUCUUUACAGCCAUUGUGCGUCCAUGAUCAUAGCUAUCGCAUGAUGUUUGUGGGUAACGUCUCUGGAAACCCUCACGAGACUUCACUCGUCCCAUCAGGGUCACCAAUGGGUUUAAAAAGGCUUGUUGCAUACGCUCAAUGCAAUCGAGUUCCCUGCGAAAGUGGCAUUAGUUUUCAUCACUGGUUUUUCAUGUUUUUUUUUUUUCUAAGUAUUCUAGUUUCUUUGUAUUAUGCGUGUAUUAAACCAAUAAACACAGAUUGUAUGAGCUGGGUGGUUAUGUCUUAUGUGUAGUAGUGUUCAAUAAAAGUUGUGUUUCUUCAUGGUUCUUACUUUUUACUGACGUACGUAUGACUUUGAUUCCUUAUUUUAGUAACUUUGAGUACUAAAUAAACUAAUUAAAAAAUCGAGAAGGAUGCUAAUACAUUAAAUAAGUGAGAAGAGAAGAUUGAUAUCCUGCAUCAACUUAGGCCCUGUUUGGCACACCGUAUAAGGGACCGGAUAGUACUAAUAAUACGGUGUACGGUGUUUGGUGACAGUUUGGAUUAAAUAAGCACCGGAUUAAAUAAUCCGGGCCCACCUUUUUUACACAGUGUGUACCCGCUUGCUUAUACCAUCCAUUUUCACGGUAUAAUUAGUCGAGCUCUCUUCUCUCCCGACGCAGUCUUCCGCUUCCUCUCCAGACAAAUUCUUCCGCUCCAGGCACUCUCUCUUCCUCUCCAGACGCCAUCUUGCUCUCAUCCUAGGUAUGUCUUCUCACAGUCUUCUUCUUCGUUUGAAUCACAAUUCGUCUUUUCAAUUUUCUUCUUCUGGGAUUUCGCCCCUCCCUCUAUUCUUCCCCCUCCUCCUAUUUUUCUUGCAAUUGAUUGAAUCUAGUUAUUAUUUUCUCUCUAAUUAUGCAAUUGAUUAUGUAAAUUUGUGUUUUAAUUAGAAUUUUUGAAUUUUAGGGUUUGCUAUUGGGGUCGAAUUUUAGGGUUUUCAAUUUUCUUCUUCUGGGUUUGUUGUUGGUGUUUAACUUUAAUUAGAAUUAAUGAUUGGGUAGAGUGGGAGUGUGCAGGUUCACUUACCUAAACAAAACUUUGUCUCUGGCGCAGCUCCCGUUUCACUCACUAUCUCACAGCUGCAACACAACCAUACGGACAAUUGGGUAAGCCAAUUGUUCUCUGUCUCUCAUUCCCCAUCACCGUCUAUGGCCCGAAAAUUAGAUCCCAAUUGCUGUUCUUCUCAGUUUUUGCAUCACUCCGUCUCAGCUUUUAUCCAUUUUUUAAUUUUUAUGUGAAUUUUACUUUUUAUCUGGAUAUACAUAUGUGUGAAUAAUUUCGGACUAGGGUUGUUGAAUUGUUGAUUGGCAUUGAAUUGUUGAAUUUCGGACUAGGGUUGUUGAAUUGUUGAUUGGAAUUUUUAUCUGGAUAUAUAUAUGUGUGAAUAUAUACGUGACAACCACAGAUGCCAAAUUAGAAUGGGAAAAAAAAUAAUAUCAAAUUAACAAAACACAAGGCGGGAAACUUAACUCAAAACUAGUACCAAAUUGCUUGUAUCUUUAUACGAAUCAAUAAAGCAUUAUAUUAGAGUCUAAAAGCUAAGAGAUCACCUCACAAAUAAAUUUGUCACUCAAGGCUUCUAGCUUGUGAGGAACAAGGUGAUCCUCAAAAUCCCCAUGUCCUAGUUGACCGUAUUUGCUCCAACCAUAUUUUUUGGUAGGACUUAUUAACAUGUUUCCUUCCGUUUUUAGUGUUAUUAUGCAUUCAUGCUCCAGUUACUUAAUUUUUUGCCACUAUCUAAUAAUGUUAUUUUUAUAUUUCACUAGACAUGGAUGAAAGAAAGAUUGUGGCAUGCUUCAUUGUUAAGUUGUGGUACUUGAAUAUUGUGACUUGGUUGAUGAUGUGGUUUAUGAUGAAUCAUAAUUCAGCUAGAAGGCGGAAUCGGCAACUUGCACUUAGAAAUCGCACAUUUGUUAGGAGAAUGGUAGGGUCAGCCUGUUUAGAUGGCAUAAUAGGAUAUGAUGAUGUUCAGUGUGUGAACCAAAUUAGAAUGGAUAGAAGAACAUUCCAUUAUUUAUGUCAGAUGCUUCGUGACGACGGUAGAGUAAAAUUGGAUGGUGUAGUGACAAUGGAAGAACAAGUUUGCAUGUUUUUGCAUAUACUUGCACAUCAUGUCAAGAAUCGUACAAUUGGGAGUAGGUUUUGUCGAUCGGGGGAGACCAUAAGUAGAUAUUUCAAUUCUAUUCUACAUGGAGUGUUAAGGCUACAAGGUAGACUUUUGAAAGUGCCAGAACCCAUUCCUAAUGCCUACCCAGAUCCUAAAUGGAGUUGGUUUGAGGUAUUCUUCAUAUUUUAUUAAAAUUACUUCUAAAAUUAAUGUAAUUAAAUAUAUUGUGCUUACUAAUGUUAAUGAUUUUUUUUAGAAUUGCUUGGGGGCAUUGGAUGGGACUUACAUUAACGUUCAUGUCCCUGAGCGAGAUAAACCAAGAUACCGAUCGAGGAAGGGAGAGAUUGCAACCAAUAUGUUGGGAGUUUGUAAUCUAGACAUGAAUUUUAUAUUUGUGUACUCAGGUUGGGAAGGGUCGGCCUCUGAUUCUAGAGUACUCUGAGAUGCGAUAAGUAGACCAUCGGGAUUAAAAGUUCCCACGGGUAACAAUAGAUUUUUUGUUUAUAUUAGUAAUUUGAAUCCUCAUUUUUCUUAUAUAUAGUAAUAUACAUUUUUUGAUGUGUUAGGGUGUUACUACCUUGUGGAUGGUGGGUAUACAAAUGGUUCAGGAUACCUUGCAUCGUAUAGGGGAGUGCGUUACCAUCUCUCGGAGUGGAGAAAUAGAAGACUCCCGAUUAAUCAUGAGGAGUAUUUCAAUAUGAAACAUGCUCAAGCUAGAAAUGUCAUUGAGAGAUGUUUUGGACUACUUAAGAUGCGUUGGAGCAUCUUAAGAGGUCCAUCAUUUUUCCCAAUUAAAACAUAACUUAGAAUUAUGACAGCCUGCUGCCUAUUACAUAAUUUGAUUAGAAGGCAUAUGUCAGCUGAUCCAAUAGAAAAUGAAAUCCUAAACUUGGACGAAUCUGAAAGUAGUGAUGAUGAUGAAGAUAUGAUUGAGACUGUUCAACCUACACAAGAAUGGACUGCAUGGAGAAACACUUUGGCCAUGAAUAUGUACAAUGAGUGGCGUGCACAAGUGUGAUUUGAUUAAAUUUUCUUACAUAUGCAUGUUGUCAUUUGGUUAUGGUUUGUUAUUUAAACAAAUAGUGAUUUCUUAUGUAUUCGGUUAUGAUACUUAACAAAGUGUGACCUGGUUAUGUAUUUAUUUAAAAAGUGUGAUGAUUUGCUUAUGGUUUUUCACUUACUAUUAAUUAUAUGCACUGUUGAUUAUAUGCUAUCUUAUUGUGUACGUAAUUAUAGGAAUGGAAAGUGAACAAAGUAGUCAACCAAAAGGAAGUAGAAGGGUUUGGAAACAAUAUGAAGAAGAUGCAUUGCUGUCCAUACUUGAGGAUGCAAUUGUUAAGAAUUUGCGAUGUGAUAACGGUUGUUUCAAACCCGGAACAAUGGCUCAAUUUGAAACUGCUAUUAAUUUGAAAUGUCCUAAUGCCAAUAUAAAGGCAGUUCCACAUAUUUAGUCCAAAAUGAGGAGGUGGAAAAAAGAUUAUGCAAUAGUUUAUGACAUGGUUAAUAAAAUUGGUUUUGCAUGGAAUGAUGUACGAAAGUGUAUUGAGGUUGAUAGCAAUGAAGUAUGGCAGUCCUAUGUGAAGGUAAUUCUAUAACAUAAUACUAGAAUUUAACUUUACAUAUUUGAUUACUUAACAUGUUCCUUUACAUACAAUUUAAUAGUAUGAUUGUGUCUACCAAACCAUAUCCUCUAGCCCCAUUCUGGAACAAAAUAAGAUUAUUUGUAUUUUAUGGAUAAUGUGAUUUGUUUUCGCAUUGCAAGUUAACAAAGAAACAGAGGGCUGGCUAGGAAAAUCGUUUCCAUUGUGUGACAUAUUGAAUGUUAUUUUUGGGAAAGACCGAGCAACUGAAGUAGGAGCUGCAACUCCUACUGAGAUAAUGAAUAAGCUUGAGCACAUUAAUGAAGAUGAAGAUGAAGAUGAGGUGGAGACUAGUUCUCCUUCUGUUGCCCGACGGUCAAGCAGUUCAAGUACCCGGAAAAGGAAGAGAGCUGCUAAUGAUAAUGAUCUUGCUGUGGCAUUUAAAGAAAUGCUUUCUGAAUCAGUGGAUAAUUUAGGUGAAGUUUUACAAGCUGCUUUUGGGAAAGGAGUGGAUCCAAAACCUGAGAUUGCUUCUGAAUUGUCAAAAAUGGAUUUGUCUAUUGAAGAUCAAAUCAAGGCACUAAAUAUUCUUUUCGAAAAGCCACAUAAUGAGAGAACAUUCUUGUCUUUGGAUGGUGCAAUAAAAAAAGCUUUCGUACUCAAGUUACUUGGACAAAGUAACCGCAAUUGACAUUUCAAACCAACAAUAAUAUACUUUGUUAAAAGCAGCAUGCAUAUCUUUUGUUAAAAGCUGCAGCAUGCAUAUAUUUUGUUAAAAGCGGCAUGCAUAUGUUUUGGCUAUUUGGACAAACUGUUUCUUACUAAAACCAAUUUGCAUUUGUAUAUUUUAUGAACUUGAAUAUGUAGUUGGAUUAUAUAAUGUAACGAUUGUAGUUGUUUUUUGUGAACAUUCUUUUAUGUUAUUGGAAAAUAUUUUAAAUUUGAUGUAUGAAAUUUACUAUGUUUCUUUGUUUUUUGAAAAUUUGUGUGGUUUUCAAUAGGUGUAAAUAUGAGAAAAGUUCAACAAACAAAGAAAGAUUUGUUUUUUUUUUUCUCUUGUCCUCUCCGGUUCAGUACCAAACACAGUAUAAAUAAUACGGUCAUUAAUCCGAAACUGCACCAAACGCCCGACUAAUUUAGUCAGUACUAUCCGGUGGCUAUUUAUCCUAUCCGACAGAAAUAGUCAGUACAGUCCGAGCUGCCAAACGAGGCCUUAGGGUUUUAUCAUAUAAAAGCCUAUUUUUUAUCUCGUUAAAUAAAAGUAUACAAAUAAAAACCAAUUUUUAUCUAAAACUCUGAAUUACAAACAAUGCAUUCUGUCAAAAAAAAAAUAGUUGAAUAAAAUUAUCCAAAUAAAAGCCUUUUUUUUUAGGAAAACUAAUGAAAAAGAUUUUGAAAAUUUUGAGUUUUAAACGAUAAGAACAAAAUAAAAGGUAAAGUAAAUAGUAAAUAGUAUCAAGAUUGACUUUUGAGUUUUAACGAUAAGAGCAACUUUUCUUGAGCUUCAAUUCUAAUCUGAAACUUUCUUUUGAACCUAUUUUAAAAAGUAGCAACAACAAUUAGAAGAUGGGCCACAUGUAAUGAUUCAUAGUCCAAUUUACUUUAGUCCAAGAUUGACCUAAUUUUAUGCAUCGACAAAUUUUAAUCAAAUAAAAUGUAAAAAAAAAAAACAGACGAUAGCAAGUAAGUUUUCGGGGUGAUCCGGAAGACAUGGAUGUCAACAAAAUAUCCAAAGUACCACUAGAGGAGGGCUAUGUAUACGAAAUGCAUAAAUAGGAAUGCAAAUAUCCAAAGCACCACUAGAGGAGGGCUAUGUAUACAAAAUGCAUAAAUAGGAAUGCAAAGACGAGACGCUAAUAUCAAAAUGUCCCUUUUAAUAAAGAAAAAAUCCAAAGACAAGGUGCCUAUAUCAAAACUCCCCAUUUUAAUAGUAGCUAAGUACUGGUAAACCAAGCUGUAAUCAAACCGGAGCUGAUAAGUACUGGUUUCAUAUACCCUUGUUGUGAAAAGAUUCUCAUAAACAACACGUAACUGAUUGAGCACUUAAAUGUGUCUUCGUGUACAUACGGCAUGAUCAAUUUAUGAAUUUCACACGUAGGAAAACUAAAAGAGUUCAUUUUCCACAUUGUUUCUUUCAGUUAUCGGGCAUUGUCCCCACAUUAGUUAAUGCCCUGCAUUGAGAUCAGCAAUUCAAUCAAAUCUGGCGUCAGUCCAGUGACUUCAGCUAAUUGAACAACUCAGUUGUUGAAAACAUCGCAAUUUUAUGUAAUUCUCUUUGAAACAAUGGAUUUGGGUACAUGUGAAAACUCUAGGAUCAGGACUCAGUCCAAAACAACAUAUGAGAUAACAACCCUACGACUCUUCUAUAUGAAUUAAACACUUGGAACUAGUGAAAAAUGCAUUGUUUUGCCGAAAGAAAAAUAAAAAUAAAAACUCGAUCCUUAUAGGAAGCCAUCAGUGUGAACACAUAAUGUGAAUAUAGAAACAUGGUGUGGGCUUAUCCUUGAAUAUAAAUAGGGUAGCACGUUCGAAGCUAUGGAGCAAGUAAAUCACACGAGAAAACGAGAAAGAGAGAAGAGGGAAGGGAGAAAAAAAAAAGAGACAAGUGAGCGUGAUCAUCCCCAUUUAACAUGGCAGCACCACUACCAAACCCUUUUGCGUGGCAAUCUAACCACAACAGCAAGUACUUGCACUUAGAUGGAGAAAUCGGAGGUCAAAGGGGGAUUCUCGAAUUCACCGAAGAGGAUCCUAAAUAUGUUUUCAAACGGGAUACGUGAAAAUCAAGUGCUCUGAAAACAAAUUAUACUUGAAAGGAGUGUGGAAUCAAACUUAUGAAACAUGGUUGAUCGUGGCCGCUGCUGAGAAGGAUGAUGAAGAUUCCACAUCCUUCGAGCAUAAGCCAGGCAAUUCAAGCUUCCGAAUGCGCCAUGUGAAGAGCAACCUCUAUUUAAGGCCAUACAAGAUAGGUCAUUCGGACGCAGUCCUCUGCGCAGUCAAGCCAGCUCCUGACGCUGGAAAUGAGGAUCUCUUUACAGCCUAUAGGCAUCCAUGAUCAUAACUAUGACUUGAUGUUUGUGGGUAACGUCUCUGGAAACCCUCACGAGACUUCACUCGUUCCAUCAGGGUCACCUAUGGGUUGAAAAGGCUUGUUGCAUGCGCUCAAUGCAAUCGAAUUCCCUGCGAAAGUGGCAUUAGUUUUCAUCACUGGUUUUUCUUGGUUUUUUUUUUUUUCUAAGUACUUUAGUUUCACUGUAUUACGUGUGUGUUAAACCAAUAAACACAUAUCGUAUGAGCUGUGUGGUUAUGUCUUAUGUGUUGUAGUGUUCAAUAAAAGUUGUGUUUCUUCAGAGUUCUUACUUUUAUGGACGUAUGUACGACUUUAAUUCCAUAUUUUGGUAGCUUUGAGUACUAAAUAAACUAAUUAAGAAAUCGAGAAGGAACUUCAAACUUGCUACUCCAUUCUAAAUAAGUGAGAAGAGAAGAUUGAUAUCUUGCAUCAACUAGGGUUUUAUCAGAUAAAAGCCAAUUUCGUAUCUCGCUAAAUAGAAGUAUACAAAUAAAAGCCAAUUUCUAUCUAAAUAAAACUCUGAAUUACAAACGAUGCAUUCUGUCAAAGAAAAAAAAAAGUUGAAUAAAAUUAUCCAAAUAAAACCCUUUUUUUUUUCUCGUUUUGCUGACAUGUAUAAUAUAUUAGCAUUUAGCAACUUCUUUCAGAUAGAAUACAAGCAGCUAUGUGAACAAGUAAAAUUAUAGGCACAUUCCCAUCAAUCGAACGGAUCAAAAGCAAUCUCGCAGGGGCCACAAGAUUCGAACCAUUAAGCAGACGAACCAAAACACAAAAAGAUCGAACUGUAAACCGAAACUUAAAAGAUUCAGAAGAAAAAUAGAAGAAAUGGAGAGCUGUUUUGUGGUUCAUAUUGGAGCUAAUGGAACAGAACAAUCGAUCAAAUUGUAGAGGGGACAAAAGGGGUACGAGAGCCUUGCAUUUAGAAGAAUCUAAAGAUGGUUUUGAGAGAAUAGAAGAUACCCAGUUGUGCAAACUCUGAUCGGUCGGCUCCGGUUGAUCCGGAAGCUGCAAUGGCGGCGGUCGUGGAGGUUCUUGGGGGCGGUGUUGGGCGGUGCGGUGCAGGUCACGCACGGGCGGUUGAUGGGGGAGAAGAGAAAAGAUGGGGUUUUGGGAUUGAAAGCCUUCUCAAAUCCAUAGAAAAAUGCAUGUGAUUAGCGCUUCUGGGUAAGUCGAUUUUGUGGGUUUUGGUGCAGGGUUUAUGAGAGUGAAGCUCCCAUGGAAUUUUGCUUUGAGAUUUUAGAGGAUGCGGAAGAGCCACGAUGCUAGAGAGAGAGAGAGAGAGAGAGAGGGUCUUUAAGGUUUGUUAUUCUGAUGUGGCCCUUGUGGGUUUAAGGCUGUGCCGUAACGCAGAAGGCACAAGCAACAACCACGAUUUAUUUUUAUAUUUUUAAUUUUGAUUCUUGAAGAAUAUUAAAAUUUUAUAAAACAUUGAUGUAAAUUACAUAUUCAUUUUAAUCUUUUAUUGCGUACUUAAUUCAAAUUUAUAUCAUAUUUUUGUUUUUAUAUUUAAUAGAUAUUUUAUUUAAUCCCUCCACAAAAAAUUUUAAAUUUAUUAUUAUACACAUUUUAAUUCAUCAAUUUUAUUUAACUUCCUCUAAUUAGGGUAUUUAAACGUAUGUAUUAUAGUAUUUUUUUAUGAACUUGUGUAAUGAAAUGUUUUUACCUAAAUGUAUUGUAAUGAAUUAGUGGCACAUAAGAAAAUAUGAAAAAACAAAGUGUACUGUAAAAUCCAUACCUAAACAUAUUAUACUAACUAGUGUACUGAAAUGUUAAUACCUAAAUAUAUUAUAAUGAAAUAGUGGCACAUAAGAAAAUAUGCAAAAAAAAUUAAGUGUACCGAAAAGUCUCUACCAAAAUAUUUUCUUAAUUAUAUAAGAUACUUACUGACACACUCCGACCGAGAUCAAGGCAUGUUAGCCGUCACGUGAGAGUGACGUAGCCAUAUGCACAGUGCGGAAGCAAUAUAGAUAAGAAUUAUACGAAUAAUUAAAAACUAAUUUACUAUACUAAACAGAACGUGAUAGGAGUUAGUUACAACAGUAAACACUCAUAAUCAGAGCAUAAAGUCUAGGUGCAGUCCAGUAGGACAAGUACUAGUUAUACAGGACCAAGAAUGUCCUACUAUUAUUUAGAUAAGUCAGAACUGCCGACGUCCUCAAGCCACCAACAGCAAGCUUACUUAAAACCUGGAGGAGCGCAAAACAGAAAACGUGAGUGGGCAAAAACAAUUGUUUUACAAAAUCAUUUCAUUUAUCAACAUAUCUAACCCAUCGCUGUAAAACAUGUAUAAUUUUUCCAUAAUCAAGAUAUAAGCAUAUACAUAUAUAUAUCUCUCUGAAAUCAUAACAAUUCAAUUCAUGCUUCACAUAAUCAUAUUCAUAUGUAUGCCAUGCCAAAAUAUAAAAGUAAACAAUUCAGGUAAGAAUGAUUUCAUAGAAAUAUGAUAUGUUAGCCAGAACUCCUAUGGUAGUCUAUACGGCUGAAUUCAUAGCUCAAAAGUCAAUCUAGCCGGAGUCACUACAAUGACCUAUACGGCAAUAUACUACACAUAAGUCGGAACCACUAAAAAUGGGUCUGUACGACAAGAUUGGGUGUAAAUUGCUAGUCACCUACGAGUCGGAACCAUAAAUAAGGUCUGUACAAUAAGACAAUGCACUUAAGUUGGAUCCAGUAUGAGCAUAUAGUGCAGGAGGUGACGUAAAUAAACAGGCAUGUACUUCAUAUCUCUGGGUAAAUCACAAUUACCCUAGGUGCAGUUUUAUGAGCUCAACAUUAUUCAAUCACAUAUCACAUCAUCGAUGAUUCACAUAAUCAAACAUAACUUACCUGAACUUACCUGUGCCUCCACAACACCACAUUUAUAUAUAUAUAUAUAUAUAUAUAUAUAUGCAACCAUGAAUUGCAUAUUCAUAAUAUAAAAGCAUUUGGCAUAUUAUUUCAAAGCAUACAUUCCUUAAAAAUGCAUUUCUGGGAAAUAUAUCAAGUAUAUAAAUAUAUAUUGAAAACAAAAGCCCACUCACUGGUAUGUCAAAGGGUCAUAGCCCCCGAGUCGCCCGUGGAUACGCUCGUCCUCGGGAUAAGUCUCACCUAUUUGCGAAUUAACUAUAAAAACGUUAUUUUAAAGCACAUAUACAAAACUAGCUAAUAACUUCUCAUACAAAACUCAAUUUUGGUAUUUGAAUAUACCAACGUGACCUACACAACCUCACGAACAUCGUGAUAUUUUUAGAAUAAUUUUUCUGUGGCUCACGCGCCCUCACGCGCCGGGGAGGGCACGGCCUCACGCGCCCUCACGCGCAUCACUUUCAACCUCCAGAGGCCAGAAUAAUGUCACCGGCGUCGGAUUCUGGGCAGACUUGCAACUGCCUCUUUCUCGCUCGUUUUUGCACCAUUUUUUAUAAAAUUUUCACCAAAAUGUCAUAAAUCACGAGAAGAAUAAGGUUAUACCUCUUGGGAGCUUCAAAUCCCUCAAAAACUCGUCUGGAGAAUCCUCUCAAAACUGGCCACCUUCGAACGUCAUGAUCCCGACGUCAAAACCGAGCUAACGAAGCACUCCGAGCUUCGUGAAAACCUCCUAGAGCUCGCGGUGAGCUUGGAUUGUCCUGAAAUGGGUACCAUUGCACUCGUAUGGUCCUCACGAACACAAUGGUACCAUUUUCUUCCUCGAUCUGCGAAGAUUUGGCUUGGUUCAAGGUUGUCCGUACGGAGGAGAGGGAAAAGAGAGUGAGUCCAAGAGAGAGUACGGGAGAGAAGAGAGAGAAAUGAUAUGGAUGUGUGUGUGUGGUUCCAAAAUGUACACCAAUCAAAACUCUUUAAUCUUUUAGCUCUAAUUAGGUCCAAUUAGUUAGGGAUAAAACUAAUUGACCCAAUUUCUUAACCUAAAAUACAAACACACACCCGACGUUCAAGGGUAAAUUCGUCUUUUCACAACCGCGAUAAUUAUUUCUCGGGACGGGCUGUGACACUUACCAUAAAUUGGUGAUGGAAAAUGUCGACAAAUAAAGUUAAUUCAUUAGAAUUUAUAAUAUUUUGCAUAAAAUGUAAUUCAUGGACACCAUAAAAUUAUAAAAGAAAAACAUUAAAUGCAUAUGCUGGCAUUAAACAUAGUAUAGAGACUAAAAUUAAUUUUUAAUCUUGUAUAAGACAUUUUUCCAAAUUUUAUCUUAUUUAAAGAUUAAAAUUUAAUUUUAUAGUUUAAAAUUUUGACCAAAUAAAAUGUAAAAGAACAAAAGACAAAAGAAAGUAAAUUUUUGAGGUGAUCCGAAAGACAUGGAUGGCAACAACAGCAUCCAAAGCACCAGUAGAGUCUUAACAGCUAAAGAAAUGUAGAAGAAAUCUUAGAGAGAAAUCGAAGAAGAAGGAAGAAAGAGAGAGAGAGAGAGAGAGAGAGAGAGAGAGAGAGAGAGAGAGAUAGAGAGAGAGAAGGAAACUGAACAGUCUUUCUGUAUUGUAUUGAAUCAAUGAUUACACAUGGUUUGCUAUACAUAUAGUUGUUUACAAUUAAUGACUCAGCAUUCUCUUUCUUAACCAACUAACUAACUUGUAACUGACUUGUACUAAAUGGCAUGUGGUGUAUGUUAAGCUAUUAUACACCCUUAGUUAUCAAUUAUUAUCCCCCCUCAAUCUUAGCUAGGGUAACCUAGUCUGAGAUUGCAACAAUGGCGAAUAAAAGCAGGACCAUGCAACCCUUUUGUCAAGAUAUCUAUAGUUUAAUGGUCAGUGGGCACAUACUGAACUUGUAAAUCCUUCCCUUGAACCUUUUUCACGAACAAAAUUAAAAUUUGUGUCCAAAUGUUUAAUGCGUGUAUGAAACACAGGAUUUGAACAGAGAGCUAAAGCAGAAAGAUUGUCACAUUGCAACAAUGGUGGUUUAGAAAUGAACUGAUGCAGAUCUUUUAACAAUAGUCUUAUCCAGACAAUAUCAGCUGCACAAUGUGCCAAGGCUUUAUAUUUUGCCUCCGUUGAACUUCUUGAGACUGAGGCUUGCUUCUUAGACUGCCACGAUAUAGGAUUGGACCCCAUGAAAACAACAAACCCAAUAACAGAUCUCCUUGUAUUCGGAUCGGCAGCCCAAUCAGAAUCUGAGAAAGUAGUUAAGGAAAUGUCAUGUGAUGCUGAAUAUGUAAUUCCACACUGCAAAGUGCCUUAUAUAUACCUUAAGAUUCUUUUAACUAUAUCAAAAUGUAUAUCAGUAGGAGUGUUCAUAUAUUGACAAGCCACACCCAUAGCAUAGGACAAAUCAGGUCUAGUAAAAGUUAGGUAUUGCAAAGCACCAACUAGACUUCUAUAUGCACUUGGGUCUUCCAAAAUCAUACCUUCAGUAGCCAGAAGUUGAGUAUGAGGCUUGCAUGGAGUUGCAAUAGGUUUACAGCCAUCCAUUCCAGCUUUAUGAAGCAAAUCGCUUGCAUACUUAUAUUGAUUGAUGAAAAUAUCCCCAUUGGCUUUAUACUCAACUUGUAAUCCCAGAAAAUAACCCAAUCUACCCAUAUCCUUUAAUUCAAACACAUCUCCAAGUUCCUGAAUUAUAGCUUGAACCUGAUUCUUAUUGGAUCCAGUGAGAAUAAUGGCAUCCACAUAUAGUAAUAGAACAACAAUAUCAGUGCCAUCAUGUUUCACAAAUAAACUUGUAUCAGAUUGAGACAUUUGAAAACCCAUUGCAGGUAAGUAUCCUGUAAAUUUGGCAUUCUAUGCUCGUGGGGCCUGUUUCAAGCCAUACAAAGACUUCACCAACUUGCAUACAUAUUCAGGAUAAGUAGAAUCCACAAACCCUUGUGGCUGUUUCAUAUAAACCUCUUCAUCCAAUUCACCAUGCAAGAAUGCAUUCUUAACAUCCAACUGUCUCAAUUCCCACUGAAAUUGAGCUGCAAGAGAAAUGAUUAACCGAAUUGUGCUAUGUCGCACAACAGGACUGAAUGUCUCAAAAUAAUCUAGUCCAUGUUCUUGAUUAUACCCUUGAGCUACUAAUCUAGCUUUAUAUCUUGAAAUAGACCCAUCAGGAUUCUUUUUCAGCUUGUAAACCCAUUUGCUACCAACAACUGCUCUGUGUGUAGGUGAAGGGACUAGCUUCCAUGUGGCUUGACCUUUCAAUGCAUCGAACUCUUCUUGCAUUGCUCUUUGCCAAUUAACAUUUGUAGAUGCACUUCGAAAGUUUGUAGGUUCUGCUAAAUCAUUAAUUUAAGCCAAAAAGGAAAACCCUCCAGUACCAUAGUUAUCAUGUUCAUCAAUCUGUAAAGUUGACAGCUGAGGAAAGCUAGCUAUAAAGGCUGAAUAAUCUUUUCUUGAAAUAGCGCCUGUUUGUAACCUAGUUUGCAUCCGUGGAACAGAAUUAUUAGAUUGAAUAUGCUCAAAUACUUUAGAAGAGAUUAGAGGAAGAGUUACCUCUAAUUGUGCAGGAUUGUGGACAGGUAACAUCAAAGCUGUGUGUGGAGGAGAUGAGUAAGUUGUUUCAGUUGACUGAGAAAAUGUUGUUGUUGAAAUAUGAGGGCUUGUCCCAACUGUACUUGCACUAGUCUCAUUAGCUGUUGUACUAACGGAAUGUGGAGAACUUACACCUACUGAAUCAGGUGUCAUAUUUCUGCUAUCAAAAUCACCAGAACGAGGCUGCACUAGAAGUGUAACAAUAAUAGGACCAUUCACAGACCUAUCUCUGAAAGAUUCACUCGAAGAAGAAUACUUGUUAGUACAACUCAUGACUUUGUAAGGAAACACACUUUUAUCAUGUAUAACUUGCCUGGAUAUAAUUAGUUUCUGAGACUGCAUAUGAAAACAUAGUGCUCCCUUAUAACCUUCUGCAUAACCAACAAACACACAUUAAACAACCCUUGGUUGCAAUUUGUUCUCAUUAUAGGAUCAAAUAUAGGGAUAUACUGCUGUUCCAAAUAUCUUAAUAUCUUGUAAACUAGGCUUUGUACCAAACAGCAACUGAUAAAGGGAUUUCAUCCCUAAUGUUUUACUUGGCAUCCUAUUUAUGAGAUAUACAGAAUGUGCAUAGGCAUGAAACCACAAGUUCUGAGACAAAUGAGCAGUGGUCAUUAAAGUAAUGGCAGUCUCUAUGAUGUGUCUAUGCUUCCUUUCAGCCAUCCCAUUCUAUUGAGGGGUGUAGGGACACAAAAUCUUAUGCACUACACCUUUAAGUUUCAAGAAAUCAUCAAACUGUUUACUUAUAAACUCUCCACCUCCAUCAGUUUGAAGACAUUUAAUGCUAACAUUAAACUGAUUAUGAACAAAGCUGAAAAAUCUCUGAAAUACACCAAAAACUUCUGAUUUAUUGAUUAAAGGAAAUAUACAUACAUGCCUUGUGAAUUCAUCGACAAAACUAACAUAGUAUCUAUAUCCUUCUAUAGAUCUAGUUGGUGAAUGACCCUAGAGAUCGGAGUGAACCUUCUGAAAUGAAAAAGUAGAUGUAUUUGUCCUAUCUAGAAACACCUGCCUUGACAUUUUUUCAGAAAUACAGAAGGAACAUACAUGUUUAUUAUCAUCUACUGUAAUAGCUAUAUCUGAUAGUUUCAUCAUCUCUGAAAGCACUUCAUUGCUGGGAUGUCCAAGUCUUUGGUGCCAAAUUGUAGACUUCACCUUAUGUCCAAGUAAUGCUACUGACUUCUGAACUGAUGGAGACAAACACCCUGGGAACAGCUUUACUGGAAUCUGAAACAACUCACCAUCCUCACUCCUUCCUUGGUAAAGAACAGCUUUGGUUACCUUGUCUUGCACAUAGAAAUUUACAUCAUCACAUAUGAACCAACAGAAGUUAUCUUUGCACAAUUGUUUGACCGAGAGUAAAUUCACAACUAUAGUUGGCACAUGUAAAACAUUUCUCAAGAUCAAAGAGUAAGGUAAUGUAUUUAAAUGUGUAGACCCAAUAUGUAUGAUUGGCAAACCUUCACCAUUGCCAAUUGUAAUUUUGUCAUUGCCUGCAUAUGAAGUGACUUGUUGCAAAGAAUCAAUGUUUGCAGUCAUGUGAUGAGAAGCCCUAGUAUUUAUAAUCCAAGAAUCAUUAGGUAAAACUGUUGGUGGAGCAUGAGCUUGCAUUGCUGUGAGAGUAGGAGCAGGUGGUGUCCCUUGAUAGGCAAAGUUAUUUCUGUGAUAACAGUCUAAUGCACUGUGCCCUUUCUUGCCACAAAUCUAACAUUCCAUACCCUGUCCACCUGAGCUUGAGUGAGUAGGCCUUUUUCCAGCAAUUAGGGGCUGUAUGCCCUCUUUCGAAACAAAUCUGACAUUCAUGCACUAUGUUGGGCUUUAUCUUAGUAAUACCAUACCAAGAUUGCCAGCUUCCUCCAUUUGGUCUGCCCCCAGAAUGACCACCUAUAUUGUUUCCAUAAUUCUGAGAUCUGUAUGCACCAUUCCCAUUCGGCUUGGAACCAUACUAAGGUCGAGAACCAUUAUUAUGGAACUGUCUUGGAGUAUUGGUUGUCCCCACAAAACCAUAGGCACUAGCAUGCUCAUGAUAUCCUAAAUCGUGAAAUUGUGGAAAUGGAUAAGAUGGAGGAAACAUCACUGGUGCUGAAGACUGUGGAAAAGGCAAAUGUAUCGGAGCUUGAGACUGGGAAAAAGGAUAUGUCAUCUGUGCAGCAUUUGAAGAUAAUGCCCCUGAGCUAUAGUGUUCUUGAGACUGAGAAAACGGAUAUGGAAUAUGUGCAACAUUGGAAGAUAAUACUCCUGAGUUAUAAUGUUCUUGUGACUGUGGAAAAAGAUAUGGCAUCUGGACAGCAUUCGAAGAUGAUGCUCCUGAACUAUAAUGUCCUCCAAAAACAGAACGUGCACCUGGUACUAGUGUUAGAGUACCUCCAGUAAUGAAAGGCACAUUAACAGAGUUACUAGAAGACCCUUGAGCCAUGGAGGAAUAAGAACCAGAACCAGUAUUCCCUUGCAUAUACAAUCCAGCAAUAUUUGGAGACAAAUUUUGAAUAACAGAAUCAGCUUCUCUUUCUGCACACAAUAACUGCUCCCUAAACUCUCUUAGCGUUAUAGUUGUAUCUCUUGUAAAAAUUACAGUUCUUAUAACCGAAUAUUCUCUUGGUAAACCAGACAAUGCUGCAACAAUAAAAUCAUUAUCACUCACUACUUCUCCCACUGCAACUAACUGAUCUUUAAUAUUUCUAAGACGAGACAGAUAAUGAUCAAUCGAACUUGGCCCUUUCUGCAUAGUCUGAAACUCUGUCUUGAGGGUAUUAACCCGAGCUUUAGAAACAGAUGCAUAUCGAUCUUGCAAAUUUAUCCAAGCUUCAUGCGCAAUUCUAGACCCUAAAACAUACUCAAUUGACUCAUCCAACAAGGUAGCAAUCAAUAAACUCAGAAAAGCAAGAUCCACAGACUCCCAUUCCAAGAAUGCAUCAGAAACUGUAUUAGUGACCUCGUGAUCCGCACUAACUACAUACUUUAGUAGACAAACAGAACCAUCAAAAUGACCAAACAGUUUAUAGCCUUUGAGAACAGAAGUAAACUGAAACACCCACUUCACAAAAUUCUUAUCAUUCAGCUUAAUGGUCAGCAUGCCUAAAAGGCUCUCCACUUUCACAAAUGACGACGUUAUGUGUACAAUUUGUAAGAAAACAAAGAAUCUUCACACAGAACUUUAAGAACCUUCAAUCCAGAACAGUAAACACCCAAUUCAACAAACUACACAAAUCAAGAAAUGACUGGCUUUGUGCCCACAACAAUCUACAGCAAAGUAAUCACCAAUGGCUUUGUGCCCACUACAAAUCAAAACUCAAGAAAUGGCUUCGUGCCUUCACAAACUACAGACAACCAGAAAUGGCUUCGUGCCUCCAAAUCGACAUAUUUGCUUACAACUUUGAACAAUCACUAGCAAUAACAGAACUACACAGAAAUUAGGUCAAGAAAAAUUAGGGAAAUUUAACCUGAAUCUGUCUUCAACUCACAGAACGAAGAACACCAAAAUCACCAUUGAUGUAGCACGCGAACCCAUAAUCCACACAGAAGAAUCACUGCCUCGAUACCAUCUUAACAGCUAAAGAAAUGCAGAAGAAAUCUUAGAGAGAAAUCGAAGAAGAAGGAAGAAAGAGAGAGAGAGAGAAAGAGAGAGAGAGAAAGAAAGAAAGAGAGAGAAAGAGAGAAAAGGAAACUGAACAGUCUUUCUGUAUUGUAUUGAAUCAAUGAUUACACAUGGUUUGCUAUACAUAUAGCUGUUUACAAUUGAUGACUCAGCACUCUCUUUCUUAACCAACUAACUAACUUGUAACUGACUUGUACUAAAUGGCAUGUGGUGUAUGUUAAGCUAUUAUACACCCUCAGUUAUCAGUUAUUAUAGAGUAGGGCUAUGUACACAAAAUGCGUAAACAGGAAUGCAAUCACAAUAACAGUUAAGUAUUGGUAAACUAAGUUGUAAUAUCAAAGCGGAGUUGAUAAGUUCUGGUUUCACAUAUCUUUGUUGUGGAAAGAUUCUCACAACCAACAAGUAACUGAUUAAGCACUUGAAUAUGUCUUUGUGUACAUAUAGCACGGUCAAUCCAUAACUUCCACAUGUAUGAAAAUAAAAAAAGUUCGUAUUCCAUCCAUAUUGUUUAUGUGGGACCAUGAUUUUCCGGGCCGAAAUAAAACUUAUCUAAAUGCUGUUACCUUAGAAGUCCGACCAUGUACUCACUAGCUCUGUGCGGAGCUGUAUCAGACGGAGUAGGGUGCCAACAUCACUUUACUCUAGGGCACCAGGUGGACCAUACUUGCGCUUAGAUGAAAAAUGUCAACAGUAAUGCUAUUUUUACCAUGUUUUUAUACUACAUUUAUAUACUACCUUAUGUGGUAUCUAAUGUGGACAGCCAUAUCAUUUAAAUUAAUCAGAAUUUAAUUUAAAUUAAAAACCACUUAAUAAACCAAUAAUUUAAACUCAUUUUAAUGGUUCAUAAUAAGCUUUGAAUUACAAACGAUGCAUUCUGUCAAAGAAAAAAAAAGUUAAAUAAAAUUAUCCAAAUAAAAGCCUUUUUUUUGGGGGGGGGGGGGGGGGUUUAGAUCCAGGUCAAAAAACAUAAAGUGUUUUUAGGAGUGAGUCCAGUUAUCUAAUUAUAUGUUUUUAUUUCUUUUAUACUCAUUGUAUAUUUCUAAAAAUAUUAAAAUCAAUUAAAAUCUUCUAAUAUUAUGCAUUUUCCAACUCCAAAAAAAAUAAUUAAUAUCUUAUAACAAAAACACUAAUAUACGAACAUAAAUUUAUCUGCAAAACAUUCUACCCUAACUCCAGUAACAAAUAUAUGAAUGUAUAUUAUACCUAUACGUGAGAUAUGAAACCUAAUUAAAAGGUAGAAAACAUAACAUAACUACAAGCAAGACACAUUAAUCUGUGACAGAUUGAUUAUAAAAAAAGAAUUUGUCAUAUAGGUAGAUAAAUAUAAUAUAAUUAACCUGUGGAUUAUAAAAAUUAAAAAUAAAAUCUAUAAAUGAAGUUUAAAGCAGGAGGAAGAACGAGAAAUAACAAAAAGAUAAAUAAAAAGAAAUAAGCAAAGACAUAAUUGGGAAGAAAUUUGAUUUUUAUAAUAAAUCUUAUCAUUAAACAUAUAACUAUUGAUAAUUAAAUAAUUAAAUACAACAAAUUGGACUUAUUUUAAUAAAAUGGAUUAUUCCUAUUGGCUAAAAAAUUGGACUUAUAUCAAGUUUCCCUUUUUUUUUCUCGUUUUGCUAACAUGUAUAAUAUAUAUAUUAGCAUUUAGCAACUUCUUUCAGAUAGAAUACACGCAGCUAUGUGAACAAACAAAAUUAUAGGCAUCCAAAAGAGUGUUAAAGUCUUUGUCAUCGAAGUGUUGUAGUAUCUUGUAAACGAAAGCAUCUUGUUUCGAAUUCACCUCCAUUUGAACCAACAUAAUCAAAGCUUCCUUUACUAUUUAAGUCAAAAUGUAUGGAACCCCACUCAACCUUAAGCUUUGUAUCUUUAUUUUCUUCUCUUAUUCCUUGUUCAUAAAUCUGAAAAGUUGAUCCAUUGUUCUUCUUAUGAGCAUCAUUCAUCAUCUCUGCUGUGUUUCCUCCUCGAUCUUGUUCGCUCAUAUUCUCCAUAAAAUUCGAUAGAGCCAAAUUGAAAUCCGUUAAUUGUGCUCUUGUUGCUUCUAUAUUAUGGGACCCUUUUACGUCGAGGGUGAGACCCUUUUGGGCCUUCUCCAAUAUGGCUUGCAAGUACUUCUCUUGAGCUUCAAUUCUCAUCUGCAACUUCUUUUGAACCUAUUUUAAAAAGUAGCAACAAUUAUUAGAAGAUGAGCCGUAUGAAUGUUGAGGUUCUAUCCAAAACGAAUUAGAAAUGGGAAGUGACCCUCCUUAGAAGCCACUGCAAGGUUUAUUAAACCUUCGAUGUGGGAUUCGCUUUUCACAUCGCCACAAGUAAAAGCUAGAAGAUUAUUUGGACACUAAGUUCGAUUUUAGGUAAAUGAUAGCAAAGCAACAUACCUCAAGCUGUUUUGUACUUCAAUCUGACACUUGAGAGCCUCCGACAAUGGAAUGGUUGUGGUUUCAGUAUAUUACCGUUAAUUAGUAUCCAGGCGCUCGAAACAAUCGAAACAGAAAACAUGUGAUCAUUAACUAGCUUAAGCAUCUUUUGUGAAUGGUUGAACUUUAAACAAAUACAAUGUAAAAGAACAAAGACAAAAGCAAGUAAAUUUUCGAAGUGAUAUGAAAGACAUGGAUGGCAACAACAGUAUCCAGAGCACCACUAGAGGAGGGCUAUACGAAAUGCAUAACAGGAAUGCAAUUUUAAUAGCAUUUAAGAACUGGUAUACCAAGCUGUAAUCAAAGCGGAACCAAGAAGUGCUGGUUUCACGUACCCUUGUUCAGUUUUCCCACCUCCUGAUGAUUUGAUGCCAGAACUUGUGGAAUGAAGAUUACUGAAAUGUACAUAUGAAUCCCCUAGAAUUUUAUAAUACAAAGGCAUUAGUAGAUUAUGAAGUUUUCAAAUCAGUUACUUGCAGUAACUUGAGCAAGGAAUCUAAUUUGUUUCCAGUAGUUCGUAUUUCGCUCACCGUUAUUCUCUCGGCUUUGUUCUUCGACGGAGUUGUGUUUCCGAGCAUGCUGUCCAAGUCUAUACUUCGUGAAUUGAUGAGUUUAGUAAUAUGAGAGUGAAUGAAGCUAAGUGUUAUAAGUGAACAAAAUAAAACAAAGAAAGAAUAAGCAAAGAAAAAGAAGAAAGAAUGCUUUUCAAUGAUAUAUUUAUUUCAUCUCAAAACAAGGUAUAUAUACAACCCUAUACAGAUAUGGGAAAGAAUAAGGGAAAGAAUAAUUACACCCUAAACUAGGAAACCAAUUAUAGUAGGAAUCCCACAAUUAUAGGAAUCCUAAUACAAGUCAACACUCCCCCUCAAGUUGGUGCAUAGAUAUUGCACAUGCACAACUUGUCUAGAAACGUGGAGAACUUGUCACUAGAAACCGCCUUCGUGAGAAUAUCUGCUACUUGGUCGUCCGUUCCUAUGGGAGGAACUUCAAUUACUUUACUAUCUAGCUUCUCUUUAAUAAAGAACCGGUCAACCUCUACAUGCUUGGUCCUAUCAUGUUGCACGGGAUUAUGAGCAAUAUCACGAGCAGCUUUAUUGUCACAAAAUAACUUCAUUGGCAGACCUUGUUUGACUCCCACAUCUUGUAACAGAAACUUAAGCCAUAAGAGUUCACAAAUACCGAGUGCCAUGCCUCUAAAUUCGGCUUUUGCACUUGACCUUGAUACAACAUUCUGCUUUUUGCUUCUCCACGUUACUAGAUUUCCCCCAACGAAGGUGAAAUACCCAGAUGUCGAGCGCUUAUCAUCCGUUGAUCCUGCCCAAUCAGGAUCCGUAUAGCACCCAAUUCUGAAAUGCCCAUUUUUCCAAAAUAGAAUUCCUUUACCAGGGCUUCCUUUUAAGUAACUCAAUAUUCUCAUAACUGCACUCAUAUGUUGUUCUCCUAGAUUGUGCAUAUAUUGACUAAUCACACUUAAGGCAUGAGCAAGAUCCAGCCUAGUGUGAGCCAAGUACAUUAAUCUUCCUAUUAACCUUUGAUACCUCCCUUUAUCAACCGGUACUUGGUUUUGAUCUAUACCUACCUUCAUUCCUUCGGCCAACGGAGUAAACAUCGGCUUACACGCUGUCAUACCGGUUUCUUCCAACAGGUCAAGAACAUACUUCCUUUGUGAUAGAAAUAUCCCGGACUUGCAUCUUGACACUUCAAUCCCAAGAAAAUAUUUCAAAGAACCAAGAUCUUUCAUUUCAAACUCUAUGGACAAAUAACUUUUCAAGGCUGCUUGCUCAACAGGAUCGUUACCAGUAACUACCAUAUCAUCCACAUACACAAUUAGAGCUGUAACCUUUCUGUUCUGAUGUUUCAGAAAUAACGUGUGAUCCUAAUUACUUUGCCUAUACCCAAAUGCCCUCAUGGACUUGGUAAAUCUACCAAACCAGGCUAUAGGAGACUGCUUUAAUCCAUACAAUGAUUUCUUGAGCCUACAUACCUUUUGUUUCCGUAUGUCCAACUCAUUGCACCCUGGUGGAAGGUCCAUGUAAAUCUCCUCAGUUAGAUCUCCAUGGAGGAAUGCAUUUUUUACGUCGAACUGUUGCAAAGGCCAAUCCAGAUUUGCUGCUAAGGACAGUAGAACACAAACUGUAUUGAUCUUUGCCACUGGUGCGAACGUAUCAGUGUAGUCGAUGCCAUAUUUCUAUGUAUACCCCUUUGCCACCAACCAUGCUUUAAAGCGAUCUACCGUUCCAUCGGCUUUGUAUUUUACUGUAUAAACCCAUUUGCAUCCCACAGAUUUCUUUCCGGCUGGCAAGUCAGUUAUUUCCCAGGUAGCAUUCUUCUUCAACGAUCUCAAUUCCUCGUUCAUUGCAUCUUUCCAACGGGAAUCUGCUAAAGCCUUCUGCACACUAUUAGGAAUAGAUACAGUAGAUAAUUGAUAUACAAAUGACUUAUUUGAUUCUGACAGGUGACAGGUAGACACAUAAUUGUUUAAUGGGUAUCUCACACUUGAAUCAGAAUUUGGCUCACUCAUGGAAUACUUAUGUUUACACUUAGGAUCUGCCUCAUAAGUGGGUUUGGGAAUACCUCGAUUAAUACGCUCUGGAAGACGACGAAGUGAAGGUGCAUCCGGUGUAGAAGACGAUUGGUUAGGAGAAGUAAUAUCUCGUGACACAUGCUGUAAUUGCUGCUCGGUUUCACUGCAAUUAGGUGGCUGCAUCUCGUUUUCCAACUCAAUACCUGUGAGACCUGUGGCUGCUCCUCUUCCUGACUUGUUGGCUGCUCUUCAGUAGGCUGCUCAGUGGGAUGAUGGCCAAAAUACACGGGUUGCUACCCUUCUCUAGGUGUCGUGGGCCGAUCACCACAACACAUGGGUUGUUGCCCUUCUCCAGAAGCCGUGUACUCUAGGCUCAACGUCACUAUUAUCUCGAGUCAGAACUUCUUCAUUAUUUCCAUACUCCCCCUGAAGUGAAGACGUGGAGGAUCCAAAAAACAUUUCAUUCUCGUGAAAAAUCACAUCCUGAGUAAUAAACAUUUUUUUACUCACAUGGUGAUAACAACGAUAUCCUUUCUGGGUAGUAGCAUACCCCAAAAAAAACACAACGAAUGGCUCGAGGUUCAAGUUUAGUCUUCCGUUGAGUUGGAUGGAGGUGAACAAACGCAACACAUCCUAUGACCCGUGGGGGAAGAUUGGGAGUCGGUGGGUUGCUAGUCUGAGAUGUGAGAGCCUGAAAUGGCGUAUGGAAGUUCAUAGUACUAGACGGAAGACAAUUAAUAAGAUAGGUUGCAGACGUAAGUGCCUCUCCCCAAUAAUGGAGUGGCAGAUGUGCUGCAAGAAGGGAAGCACGAACCAUUUCUAACAAGUGUCGAUUUUUUCAUUCUGCAACCCGAUUCUGUUGAGGAGUAUACGGGCACGUGGUCUGAUGAACAAUACCAUGCAACUCUAAGAAGGAACGAAGUUCCAUAUUAACAUUCUCCCCCAUUGUCACUUCGAAUAACCUGGAUAUUCCGAUUGUAUUGUACAGCAAUCAUUUUAUGGAACCGUUGAAAGGCCGAACUAACUUCACUUUUCGACUUUAACAAAAUAACCCAAGUCAUUAUGGUACAAUCGUCGAUAAAAGUAACAAACCAAUGAGCACCACCAAGAGUAGCUACUUUUGACGGUCCCCAUACAUCAGAAUGCACAAUCAUAAAAGGAACGGUACUUUUAUUUAAACUGGGAGGAAAAGAGGUUCGAUGGCUCUUAGCCAUUUCACAAACAUCACACUUAAACUGAGAAACAUCAUUCUUGACAAACAAACUAGGAAAUAACUUAUGCAUAUAACCAAAGGAAGCAUGCCCAAGGCUCCAGUGCCACAUCCAGAUGUCUAACACUUUAUAAGUAACCCCUUGAGAAUCAUCAACGGAAAGAGCUUGAGUUAGCAAGCUAGAACUACUGGUGGUCAACUCCAAGUAAUAAAGUUUCCCUCUUCUAAUACCAUAACCAAUCAUCUUCCGCGUCCGGAUGUCCUUAAAAACACAAAAAUAGGGCCAAAAAAUAACCAAACAAUGUAAGGCAUGGGUUAUUUGAGCAACGGACAACAAAUUAUAAUUUAGAGAGGGAACCAUAAGAACAGUGUCAAGUUUCAUGGUAUCGGAAAGGGAAACAGUGCCUUCCCCAAUAACAGGGACGGCAGUACCAUUAGCAACAUUGACUUCGGUUUGUGUGGAUGUUUUUAGUGAUGGAACCUGUCUAGAAUCACAAGUCAUUUGUUCAGUAACCCCGGAAUCAAUUAUCCAUGUAUUAUUCAUAACAAAAGUAGAAGUACUUAGUGCCUUACCAUCACUUCCUACCGCAGCUAUCAUGGCAGAUGCCUUGUCCGUUAUCUGAUCCGAAUCAUUCUUGGUUUCUGUAAUGGAGGCUCGAGAUUUGUUAUACCGAGGAUCACGAGUCUUAUCCCAAUUCUCAGGAUAUCCAAUCAGCUCAAAACAGCAACUCUUGGAGUGUCAUGUCAUGCCACAAUGUGGGCACUUACCUUGUGGACGAUCCCGGCUUGUCUGGCUAGGCCGAGUUUGUCCAGGCCAGUUUUGUAUCCCUUCUCGGUUCGACCCAAAAGAUGAUCCACGGGCCUUUGCUGCCAUGGCAGCGGGCUCCCCCUUGUCAACCUCUGUCUUCAUUGCUUCCUUUCGAUCGGCUUCCAGACGAACAUAGGCAUAAGAAGCCUGCAGACCAAGUGAGGGAUCCUUCCGCAGCACUUAUCCACGCACCUGAUCAAACCUAUCGUCGAGACCACCAAGAAACACAUAGACUCGUUGUCUCUCAGUGGAUUUUUGAAACACUUUGAUGUCGUUUUCACACUCCAUGGAUACUUUAUUAAAGUGAUCCAAUUCUUGGAAAAUCUCAGUGAGCUCCCCAAAAUAGGUAGCCAAAUGUCGUCCAUUCUAACGAAGACGUGAUGCCUUCUGAUUCAACGAAUAAAUUCUAGCCUCAUCAUUUUCAUCAAAGUAGGCUGCCUUAAGGGAAUCCCAAAUUUCCUUCGAUGUAGACAACCGAAUGUACCGUUUCAUAAUCUCAGGCUUCAUUGAAGACAAAAGCCAACUCUUAAUUUUUUGAUCUUCAGAGAACCAAUCAUCAUAUUUAGGAUCGUCUUCGUUAGGUGCCUUGAUAGACCCAUGAAGAUAUCCCAUCUUUUUCCUUCCAGCAAUAUGGAUUUGAAUGAGAGGAGCCCAUAAAUCAUAGUUCUUUUCAUCCAAAACCAUACCAAUAUUAAAGCUUGAAUUCUCUGACUGCACCAUAAUUGGAGCAGUCGCUGGAACAAUCUUAGAACCUGUCUCCUUUUCUUCAGCCAUCUCUCUUGCUGUCGGUAUAGCCUAAAACAAAAUUGCAACUCUGUAAUUGCCUAAUAAAAGACUAGGCAGAAAAAAAAAAAAAAAAAAAAAAAAAAAAAAAAAAAAAAAAAAACUUGCGGCGCUGAUGGGACUCCGAAAUCGUUUGAACAAACUGACAAAACAGGUGGCAGCAACAAUUUCACAAUUGCUCGCUGCAAUCGAUCAAGAACACGAGCAGCAACAACUCCUCUAAGUUGCUCGCUGCAAUUGAUCAGGGACACGGCAGGAAAAAUAAGGUUAGGGUUCGGUGUUUUCUUUUUUCUAACCCAGCUCUGGUGCCAAGAAGAAAGAAUGAUUUUCAAUGAUAUAUUUAUUUUAUCUCAAAACAAGGUAUAUAUACAACCCUAUACAGAUAUGGGAAAGAAUAAGGGAAAGAAUAAUUACACCCUAAACUGAGAAACCAAUUAUAGUAGGAAUCCCACAAUUAUAGGAAUCAUAAUACAAGUCAACAGAAAAUACCUGCAAAUCGCUUUUCAGAUGGUACAAAGUUAAUCCAUUCAAUCCCAUGAGUCAUGACCCUCAAGACAGACUUUGGAGUUGCUUCUGAAAACAGAUUAAACUUAACUGGAUUAAUUGGAGAAUUAGAAGUAAGGCUGGUUUCGGUUUGGUAAACCGAAAAUUGGAUAGGGCUUUGUUUAUUAGGCUGGAUCUUUUGGGCUCUCCCAAUUGAAUCCCAUAUUUAAGUGACUUUGAGUGCCAAAUUUUGAUGUAACUUUUAUGUGAGUUCGAGUACCAAAUUUUAAGUAACUUCAAAAUUUAAAUGACAUAGUAAAUAAGUUUAAUUUCAACUUGAAACUUGAAAUAGAAAGCAACUAGUGAAAUUCUCUAUAGCCUCUUCCGGCCCAAAAUGGGUGGAUAACCGUGGCUUGCCUACGGUUGUCCCCCUUUCUAAGUUUUGCUUACCAAAAUUGGACCGAAAAGUUCGGUAAUUUUUAGUUUGGUAAUUUCCGUUUCAAUACUUUCGGUUUCGUUUUGUAAUUUUCGAUUCAGUUUCGGUAUUUGAUUCAGAAAAUGUUAACCUAGUUAGAAGUUAUCAUGUAACAUUAUUAGUGGCUUAAUGUGUUUUAAAAUUUGAAUGGAUUAAACUGAUCAAGAACAAAGUAGUGACAAAAUCUAAUACACAUUCAAAGUUUCACCAUGAUCAUAAACAUUAUGCACGAUUUAUGAUGCUACUCGUAUUUUGUUUUGUCAAACAAUUUAACAUGUUAUAUUCUCGGAUUGUGAAUUGAGAUUAAAAGUAUGCCAGAUAAAGUAUUGCUCAAAAUUCAAAUGUGCAUAUCGUCUAAACAUGAUAACAUGCCCUAUUCAUUCAAAUGGUUCCUACCCAAAAUUCAAUCAAAUACCAGGCUCAAAAAUCCCAAAGAGUUCAUUGGAGUAACAAGAAGUAAAAGAAACAAGUCGUUGAAGGACAGAAAUUCAUCCUGAAGAAAAAUAAGAAGACACUUACUGUCAGGGCCACCGAGUUUAGUUACAGCAUCGACAAAUCUGUCGUGAAGAUCCGGCGUCCACCUCAACCUUGGUUUGGGGUCUCUCGUCAUCAUCACCCCAUUCUCAUAUCCACAAUUCCUUUCCCCUUCACAACUAACAUAAAUAUUCCUCUCCAUCAAUUAUUCAGAUUAAUUCUUCUAGCUUGUUGCAGCUGCUUUUGCUUGUCCGCCAAGUGAUUCUCAGAAACGCAGAAAGUAGCUCCUGAGAGAGACUGAUCGGAGUGGAAAGAAAGACAGAAAGCAGAAGCCGUAAGAAAAAGAAGGAACAUAGAAACAGUAGCAAAAACAAGAAUGCGUUGUUUUCAAGUGGUUUAUUUAUACUUAUUUAUUAAAACAGCAUAUGUUUGAAAUCUAAUGUAGAACUUUAUAGAUUUCGUAGCAUUUAACUAAGUUGAUCAGAGCAAUAUACUCCGCUUUUGCAUUUGUCAAGUUUAGAUUUUCUCCCCUAGUUAAGAUUAAACUAUAAGAGCACCCAAAUCUCAACUAGGUACAUAGCUACUUAAUACACCACUAACUGGCAAUGCAUUUUUAUAAUAAUCGCUAACUAGUUAGUAACGGUAAUACUGCAUGAAUCAAACCGUUAAUUGUAUUGUAUAUUUGAAUCGGAGAGAAAAGUUGGGCGACGAAUCUGAAGAGGAAGCAGCAAUGAUUCCCUUAAUAAUAAAAGGUUUGGCUGGCGGGCUGGCUUAUUCGACGGCAAGUCAUGGUUUCUAACAAGGGUUGCACGUGCAGAGAAGGACACGUUACGAAAUCUCCGCAUGCCACGGGGACUUCGAGAAUAUUAUCAGUGCCUUCCGGUAGGGUGGGUCCCUGCUGUAGGCCAUUGAUUUAUGUCCGUGAAAAGCUGUCUCUGUCCAUCCAUCCCUUCCUCUUAGAUUUGGUUGACAUUAUUUUUAAGAAAAAGAAUGGUGCAUUCAUAUGGUUGUAUCAAUUUUUAGAGGGGCACGGCCUCCUGCCGGUGGGGGACUCGGAGCUUUGCGUGUUUUAAAAAUAAAUAAUUAAGGUUGGUUUUGAAUGAACAACUUCGCUGACAUGGAUGCACCGCUAAAUUAUAUUUUGUGUUAAGAAAAUAAAGAUAUGUGAACAAAAAUAUAUGCAUAAUUUUGUUUCUUUGACAUAAAGCGUCAUUGUGGUAGUAUAUCCUUCUCCAACCUUCAAGUCUUCAAAUUAUCGAGUUGUUCCAACAAAGGAAAUAAUGGUGAAUGAUGGUACACAUGAUUGGAUUAAAAUAGAGAACCCUCAAAUUGCAUAAUGAAAGUGGAACUGUGGAAUGGUUUUUCAUUUGAAGGACACGAGAAAAGGGUUAGCUAUGAAGGAAAUUCAUCCCUUCUAAUCCUACCAUUUUAAGCAGGAUUGGAUUGAAUGAAUUUUCUUCGAGAGUAAUCCCUCUUCUAUCCUCUAGGCCAUCAUAAUUUUAUAUUUCUUCUUUCAACAUACCUUAAUUUGGUAGGCUAUAAAUUACAGUCCAAUCACGUGUAAACAAACCAUACAUUCUUAAUUUAUCAUUACAUUAAAGAAGAAGAAACUCUAUCCCAUGAGAAUGUCAAACAUGUUUGUAAGAUGAGCCAAGUUCCAAAAGACAGUUUUCCACUAGCAAAAUUUGAUUAAUUGGAAAAUAUAACUAUAAAUUCAAAAAUCAUGUAGCAAAUGAAACAAGAACACAUGUACAAAAUCAUUGUUACACACUCAUGCCUUUCGGAUUAAAAAAUGCACGAGCGACAUACCUAACACUUGAAGAUAAACAUUCACUGAAUGAAAAUAAUGAACCAGUUACAAGUUUGAGAAUUAGUCAAUACAACAAGGAGCGCGAAAUAAAGCACCAGUUGGGAUUAGAUUUUGACAGAAUCGACCGUCCAAGACGACAGGGCAAGUGCCAAAAAGGGGAAAGAAUUGGACAGUCCGGUUGAAAAAAUGGUUAAAUCUUAUGAAUCCCCCACCAGGGAUAUGCAUAUAGACCCAGAUACAAAGACUUUCAAGUUGAAUUACCGGUGAGGGGGAGAAUCAUUACUCUUCGGUCUCGAGAGGCAAAUUUUUUGUGAAUUGGAAGAAGUUUGAAUGAGAAAACUUAUUGGGGAGAGUCAUGAGUGGAUCAUUUCCACUGAGUUUUCGAACUGCCAAUCCCAACGCAUAUCCUAAAGCUCGUGCAACCGAAACUGGAACUGCAUUUCCAAUCUGACAAUACCUGCACAAAGAAAUAAGACAAUCAAUGAUAACUCAUCUUAUAGAAUAUUUCAGUUUUCUCUUUCAUUUUCUUCCUCAGUCACAUCACAUCCUGCAGAAAUAACUCAUUCAAAGCACAAAAUGAAAAGUAUAUGCAACUGUGUCAAACUGUAUCGUUUGGAAGGAGAAAUGGUCGUUACAGUGUAGACGAGUGUUUUCCAUAUUAAAAUAUGGAUCAACAAACCAGACACGAAUCAUAAACAAUUCAUCAUUUAUUGAAUAAACUUGCAAAAGGAGUCAAAUAUUCAACGUCACAUUCAUAAGAAAAACUGAAGGACCAUACCUCUCUUUAACUGUCCCACAGAACCUAUAAUAAUCAGGAAAGCCUUGCAAUCUUGCAGAUUCACGUACAGUGAGAAUUCGGUCCUGCUCCGGAUGUAAUACUACCUGCAGAAGGUUAUAGGGUUACCCCAAUAUUCAAAAGAUGAAAUGCCAUAAAGAACUAGACUAGAGAGGAUGGUUAAACCUGGUUGUGACAACUUGGGAAAGUAAGCACAGUGGGCACUGUCUCAUCCCACCAUAACCUCGCAAACGGUCUAAAAAUAUAAUUAAAUUUUUAAAAAAAUAAGAAAAAUAUGAGGAAAUAGAAUAGCAGUAAAUGGUAAAACACAUUAGAAGGCUAACAAAAAAAAAAAGAACCUUUUCGAUUUGCCUUGUUCAUAAGUAAAGCAAUAGUCUGGUACCUGGAAGGAAAAAACACUGGUUACACACUAGCCAAUUUUCAUUUUACUUAUUCACAUUAACAUUGAAAAAAAUACAUCAGUUUCAAUAGCACUCUUUAUUUCAACCUACAGAGGUUCCUGUGAGCAGUUUUGUGUCCUUUCAGUUCCAUUCAGCCCUUUAAGAUGACCUAAAUUCUCACUAUACAUACUUUCGUACAUAGCUAAAUUAUUUUGUUUCUUAUUAACAUCUAAGUAACAAAACUUAGAGUAUCAACACUCACUAAUGGCCUUCCAGAUGGCAACAGAGAAUGCUUUUCAGUUGACUCUCUCCGAGCCACAUUGUCACUUCCAACAACAACACCAGGUAGAUCCCGGAAAUUUGCUCCCUGAAAAUAGCUAUAAGUUAGAAACAACAGAUGGUAACAAAGUUAACAAAAUUUGAAAGACAAAUAAACGUGAAGUUAAACUUAUCCAUGCUAUAUAGAGUGUGUGUGUGUGUGUGUGUGUGUGUGUGUGUGUAUCCAACCUUUCUUUUUGGAAUCUGACAAACUCGUAAGUAAUCAUCUUCGUUUAAGUGGUAAGUCCGAUGGUCAUAUAGUGAAACUGUUGCUUUCGUAGUGCCAUCAAACGCAGAUCCCAUCAUCUCUACACAACCAGCGUAAAUGAAAGUUAAAAUGGAAAUCAUUUAAAUAAGUGUAGAUGGACGUAGAACAGAUCAUAUGAAUGGCCUGCCACCCAAACCAAAAUAACAAAAACAACAAACAAUUACAGGUAGCCCUGGCAUAAUGAAAAUACAAAAAAUUCAAUGUUGCUAGUAAGUAUGAUUUAUCAGUUAUAUUUGCAAUUCUACUAUACAAAAGUUUCUAUAUGUUAAACACAGAUGUCAAGCAUUUAACAUCAUUAUUUUUCAAAUGUGGAUAUGUAGGGGCAAAGGAUAAGAACACACUUUCUCAUUUGAAAUACUUGGAAUUUAGCACAUAUCAUGACAGAGGAGCUAAGCCACAUCAACCUUAGAAGUUUACCAAGAGCAUACUAACGGGGGCUCUAAGGGCCAAGAACAAAUUUGGUAUAUGCUGAUGAUGUUAAACAUUAACUGUAUACAACAAGUUCUGAAAAUAGUGAUAUUACCAUGCUGUGUUGACCUUAUAUAUCUUUGGAAAUCUGUUUCAGGAGGCUUUUGGAAUGGCAUUUCUUCUCUUUUUUCAUUGUUUGAGACCUAUAAAUUUAAACACAAUUAGAAUUUUGUUGAAUUGUAAGAGAAGAGCUAAGCUUCAAAUACGAUGAACUUACAGAAGGAAGAUCCGAGAUGGCAUCGCGAAGAACAAGAGCUUUUUCUAAUAAUUCACGAGGUUGUUCUUCAUCAUAAGCAACAGUGUUCCGCUGCACAUGAAGGCAAACAAUUUAAUUAGUAAAGAAAAAUAGAACUGAAAGUUUAAGGUUUGCUUAGAAGUACCUCAAACUCUGGUGGAGGCCAGUAUCUCACUAUGACAUCAUGUGUUGGAAGAGGAAACUGUGGCAGAUUCUGUGAAGAUAAAAAAGAGGGGAAAAUACGUCAGGCUCUUUUGGCCUUCCAAAAAUGAAUGAAUGCAUUAUUAAUCGGUAACGCGAGAAUUUGAGUGAGCUUGAAUUAUGUUUCAUAAGUCUAGUUAUGGAUUUUAUGCAUGGGGCAUGCCUUUUAGCUUUGUCUGUGCAUGUAUAUGUGUGUGACUCAGAUAUGCUAAAGAUAUAUUUUCUGUUUCUUAUUCUUUUUCUAAUGUUUGACGAUGAAAACAGUUAUAUGGCCCAUAUACGUAUUGAAAAGAAACGUAAUAACCAUACUUUUAUUUUGGGAAACCUAAACUGAAUAGUAACCAACAAGUAUCUAGCUAUCACAUAAAAGAAAUUUCAGGUCAGAUUCAUGGAAUGCUCAUUGUAUUUUUCGUGUUACUCUCGAUCAUUUAUUAAAACAAUGAAACAAAAAGAGAUCACCUCACAAGCAUGAGCACCCCACAAGAAAACACGCAACCGAAAUUGUGGAAGGCCAUAACAACCGGCAGCAAGUAUUCCCAGCCUCGCUUGGUACUUCAUAUGCACCAAACGACUAAGUGCAUAUCUUCCAAGAGAAGCUUUGUCAAAUCUCAAAAUGUCAACAACAUUUUCCAUCAGCACAAACUUUGGCUUCAAGAAGUUUACAAUAUCCAUGAAGACUACAAUUUGAUGAUUCCUCUCAUCAUCCAAUGGAGAAUCAACGUUUCUAUAGCGAUUAUAGCCGCUAAUUCCUUGGCAAGGAGGGCCCCCGCAAAUUACAUCAACAUCUCCCUGAAAUUGUACAUAUCUAUUUAGGAUUCGGAUAGCGAAACACAAGAUCAGUAUAUAUGAUACUACUUUAGCUUGUUCAAUCAGUUACUACUUACUGGAAGUGGCAAAAUUUUCACUUUCCUCCCAUUUCUUACAAAAUCCUGUAUACUUUCUUGGCAGUUACUGAGAAGAUAAAAAAAUAAAAAAUAAAAUUAGUGCUGAUGCGGAAAGUCAUAUUCAUAAUCAUAUCAUAAGAAGUGGUAUACCUUAAGCCUUCAAUUGGUUCCCAUGUAUCUUCACUGCUACCAUAACCUUUCCAAUGCACCUAGAAAAACAAUACGAUUAAAUAUUUAUUAUGAUAAAUAAUUUUGUAGAAAAAUGAGAUAAUGUUAAGAGUGAAUGAGGAAUUCACAGUCGAAUUGCAUGGAGCAAAAAUAACAGUAACAACUAUGAAAAAAGACUAAAAACCUAACAAUGGAAAACGUCACUUUACAAAAAAGUAUCUUAGGUUAAUAGUUGAUAUUGAAGACUCCCUAAAAUCUGCAGUUACCAAUGCCAAGAAAGCUGACCAAAACCUAAGUCAAUCCUACAGUUCAUCCUGCUGACUUGUGUACAUUUAAUUGUAAAGAUUAGCUGCUGAGUAAUUGUACAGACAUUUACAAGAAUUUUAAAAUUAUAGACACGACUUUUGCCAAUUCCCAAAACCUCGCAAUGCAAAAUUAUGGACGUGAGUUUUGUGAAUUCCGAAAACCAGCAACUCCUAAACUAAAAGCGGAUUUAACACUACAAUCCUCUGUACCUAAUGUAAGAAAUCAUAUAAGGUUUUCCAACCCAACUCAUGCAUUGAUUGCCUUACAUGGUAACACACAAGUUUUCUAAGUAGCGGUAACAGAACAGUAGCUAAACCACUUUGUUUUAUGCUUCAGGAAUUUCAAUAAUAACCAGAGGACAUGAUGUUACGCAUGUGUGCACAAAAUCUUUUGCAUCCCUCAAUGACAUUGCAGAUAUUGUCAUCAGACAUCUUAGAAGCAUUUUUGUUUUACCUUAAGGUUCACUCCACGCUUGCCUGUCUUAUUAGGAUCACCAAAGCAGAUAUCAACAAUCCUCGAAACUUCAUAUUCACCGGUACCAACCUCAUUACCAUUCUUUGGUACACUUAAGGUCUUCGAUCUUAAUGGAUGAGUUCUUUCGACAUCAUUGGCCUUAUGCCUUCUGCAUAACUUUUCCCAUUCCUUCAACAGUUGUAGAAAAUCCUCAGCAGUUUCAUUCCUGACCUACAAAAAGAAGCAUAGAAUUAUUCUGUAAUGUCAUUGAAGGGUAAAUUGGCUAUUACCUAGAAACGGAUAAGAUAUCUCACUUGCGUUUCUGGAUGAUUUAACUUCAAGCUUUCACAGGCAGAUUUAUCACUGUCAAGGGCCCAUUUCUACAAAAAAAAAAAAAAAAAAGUAAGAUUAGCUAUUCAUGACAACAUGUUUAAAGGAUACAGAAUCCAAAUACAAAUUAUAAAAAUAUUUAUAUAGUUGAAUACCGUGACAAGAUUAACACAGGAAAGUUUAGCACCAAAGCACAAUCCAGUUGACAUUCCACCACAACCACAAAAAAGAUCUAAGAGGGCUAAUUCUGCUUUGUAAGUUUCAGAGCUGGGCAUAUUCUCCAGUAAGUUUGAAGUUGACAGUGUACCAACUGCUUGGAUUGAAUUGCAUGAUGGCAUGUUGUGGCUCUUCACAGAAUUAUCUGAAGUAAAAAUAGACAACGCUGAACUGUCAAAUCUUGGGAAUUGACGUUUCAGUAUAAAGUUUAAUUUCUUUGUCUACAUUUUGUCCCUUUGGGUAGAUCUUGGAGGGCCAAUUAGUAGAAAUACAAACAAAACGUUUUCUAUAUAGGUAAUACAAGGAUUACCAGACUAUUUCCGUAUCCCAUUAGAUAUAGUUUCUUUAAUAAGUCAUUCAAGAUUGUUUAUUAAAUUUUAUAAUAAGUGAUGAAUGAAUUUUAAUACAAACGUCCAAAAUUACAAUAGAGGUGACCAAUCCCCAAAAUUCUUUUUGAUUGACACCAUCCGUAUGACCAAAAAACUUCCAGCACACUGAAGCCCAAGGAGUUCUACCACAUACAUAGCAACUACAACAACAACAACAACAACAACAAAGCCUUUUCCCACUAAGUGGGGUCGGCUAUAUGAAUCCUAGAACGCCAUUGCGCUCGGUUUUGUGUCAUGUCCUCCGUUAGAUCCAAGUACUCAAGUCUUUUCUUAGGGUCUCUUCCAAAGUUUUCCUAGGUCUUCCUCUACCCCUUCGGCCCUAAACCUCUGUCCCGUAGUCAUAUUUUCGAACCGGAGCGUCAGUAGGCCUUCUUUGCACAUGUCCAAACCACCGGAACCGAUUUUCUCUCAUAUUUCCUUCAAUUUUGGCUACUCCUACUUUACCUUGGAUAUCCUCAUUCCCAAUCUUAUCCUUUCUCGUGUGCCCAUACAUCCCACGAAGCAUCCUCAUCCCCGCUACACCCAUUUUGUGUACGUGUUGAUGCUUCACCGUCCAACAUUCUGUGCCAUACAACAUCGCUGGCCUUAUUGCCGUCCUAUAAAAUUUUCCCUUGAGCUUCAAUGGCCUACGAUGGUCACACAACACGCUAGAUGCACUCUUACACUUCAUCCAUCCAGCUUGUAUUCUAUGGUUGAGAUCUCCAUCUAAUUCUCCGUUCUCUUGCAAGAUAGAUCCUAGGUAGCGAAAACGGUCACUUUUUGUGAUCUUCGCUAGAUUGCUCCGGUCAUUAGUGUGGAUAAGUAUAUAAAUGGAUAGAGAUAGGAAAGCAAACACAAGAUGUAUGUGGUUCACCCAGAUUGGCUACGUCCACGGAAUAGAGAAGUUCUCAUUAAUUGUGAAGGGUUUACACAAGUACAUAGGUUCAAGCUCUCCUUUAGUGAGUACAAGUGAAUGAUUUAGUACAAAUGACAUUAGGAAAUAUUGUGGGAGAAUGAUCUCGUAACCACGAAACUUCUAAGUACCGGAGUGUGGUAUCGUCUUGACUUGCCUUAUCUGUCUCAUAGGUAGAUGUGGCAUCUUUUCUGGAAGUACUCUUCCUCCAUCCAGGGGUGGUAUCUGUAACUGGUGGAGAUGCACAAGGUAAUGUAUCUAUUUCACUUGAAGCUUACUUGUAGUUUCAGGCUUGGUCAAGCGCGAUACAAACCAUGUAGUAGGAGUCCCCCAAGUCGCCGAGCUAGGGGAUCUGCUGAAAGAGGUGACAGACAAGGUAAGCAAUCAGAGCUCCGGCUGAUUGUUCACAUUCUCCCUAUCUUGCAGGCAGCAUGAAGGAUAAAGAGAAGAAAAAUGAGAAGAGAUGAUAUGGGAUACUUUUGCUUUUGAAGAAGUAACUUUCUACAGGCUUAUUCUUGAACUGGGCUGGAGGGUUUUCUGGUUUCCUCCAUAGUAUAAGGCCGACUAAAGAAUUUGAGGGUCAAAACAAGUCCAUCAAAUCUAGAGUACGUUCGACCUUGCUGAUAUGGGAUACUUUUACUUUUGACAGAGUAGUGGAUGUAUCGGCACGUGUGCUGUUACGCUUGUCUCCACAUGCUUCCUUGUAUCCUUCUCACUUGCCCUAUCUGUUCCUCAGGCAGAUGCGGUAUCUUCCCUGGAAGCAUAAGAUGUUGAAGAUGAGUACUCGAGAGCAAUGCCAGGUAAGUAAUCAGGUAAGGGGUUCCAGGCAGUCAGUUCCUGGCUGGAAGCUUGAUUCCAAGUGCUGACUGAUUGCUCUCUUUCUCCUUGUCUUGCAGGUAAGAACAAGGCCAAAGGAAAAGACAGGGAAAAAGCAUGAUAUGGGAUACUCUUGCUUUUAACCCUGAUGAUAUGAGAUAUUCUUGCUCUAGUAUAGCUUGUUUAUUGAGGUAUUAUCGGGGGGAAAGAAAGCUGAAUAUUUCGAAAGGCUUCGUUGGAAGUGCCCUCUCAGAUAAGAGGAAGGGUUGAGCAUUUUUGCAGGUCUGCCUAUCCGUUGGGGAUGGAGGUCGACAUAUAUAAGAGUCUCCCUAACAUCAAGUAAUAAUGUUAUUCCUUUACCCUGCUUGGUCAUAGCACGGUAGUGGGAGCUGCCAGCUUCACAUGUUUUAACUCUGUCAGAGCACUUUGAAAAAGUGGUCUGUGGUAUCUGGAAAGCUGAUGUUGCGUGUGAAGAUUACAGACAAGCUUUAUCCAAGGAGAUCCAGCUCUUGAAGUUGGGAAAGUGGUGCCUCUUUGGUUUUCGAACAAGCAAUCCUGUCGGGGAUCUGGCUCUCGAGAUUCGGAGAACGAUGCCUCUUCGAUUUUUGAGAAAGCAAUCCUGCUGGGGGUCUGGCUCUCGAGAUUCGGAGAGCGGAGUCUCUUCGAUUUUUGAGAAAGUAAUCACGUUGGGAGUCUGGCUCUCGAGAUUCGGAGAGCGGUGCCUCUUCGAUUUUGGAGCAAGCAAUCUUGUUGGGAGUGUUUUCUCGAAUGUGAGUAAAGGUUGGGCAUGUUUGCUAGUCUACCUUGCCACGAAGCACAGAGGUUGACACACAGGGACUUUCCAAUUAUCCAGCAGUGGUACUGUUCCUUUACCCUCUCUUCGAUUUUUGAGAAAGUAAUCAUGUUGGGAGUCUGGCUCUCGAGAUUCGGAGGGCGUGCCUCUUCGAUUUUGGAGCAAGCAAUCUUGUUGGGAGUGUUUUCUCGAAUGUGAGUAAAGGUUGGGCAUGUUUGCUAGUCUACCUUGCCACGAAGCACAGAGGUUGACACACAGGGACUUUCCAAUUAUCCAGCAGUGGUACUGUUCCUUUACCCUCUCUUCGAUUUUUGAGAAAGUAAUCAUAUUGGGAGUCUGGCUCUCGAGAUUCGGAGGGCGAUGCCUCUUCGAUUUUGGAGCAAGCAAUCUUGUUGGGAGUGUUUUCUCGAAUGUGAGUAAAGGUUGGGCAUGUUUGCUAGUCUACCUUACCACAAAGCACAGAGGUUGACACACCGGGACUUUCCAAUUAUCCAGCAGUGGUACUGUUCCUUUACCCUUGUGGGUAAUAAUAUGGUAGCUAGACCUUCAAAAUUUAUGUGUCUAAACUUUGUUAGUGUUGUUUCUUUCCUAUUCUUUUACCCUUCUUGGUCAGAGCGAUGUAGUAGGAGCUGCAAGCUUCACGUGUCUCAACUUUGUCAGAGAACUUUGGCAAAGUUAUCUGUGGUACCCAUGAGCUACUGUUGCGUGUGGGAAGUGGGUGAUUGAACAGUACGAUUCAUGUGCUUUCUACUUCGCCAGAAAUGUUCGACAGAAUGCCCAUAAUUUCCGCAAAGCUGAGUGUGCGUGUGACAGGUGCUGACAAGGCUGGAAGAGUAGGUGCCUCUUCAAUUUCUGAGAUCGGCCCUCGUGGUCUCUGAGCAGCCCAGCUUUUGAGAAAGCAAGCCUCUUCGAUUUCUGAGAUCGGCCUUCGUGGUCUUUGAGCAGCCCAGCUUUUGAGAAAGCAAACGCCUCUUCGAUUUCUGAGAUCGACCCUCGUGGUCUUUGAGCAGCCCAGCUUUUGAGAAAGCAAACGCCUCUUCGAUUUUUGAGCAGGCGCCUCUUCGAUUUCUGAAGCUUCGUCGAGUGCAGAUUUUUAUAGGGGCUGACAUUAAGCUCCAAAGCACACUUGAAUAUCCACCCGUAGAAGCUCCAUUCUUGCACUUCUAAGAUCUUGAUUUGUCCGACCUCUUCUCUCUUCAACACCUUUGAAAAUGUCUGGCCCCUCCGACCGUCGUUUUGACUUGAACCUUGUUGAAGAGGCAGCCCCGCCUUCUCCAGACAACAUAUGGCGCCCAUCCUUCGUCUCCCCUACUGGUCCUCUUACCGUUGGGGAUUCCGUGAUGAAGAAUGAUAUGACCGCUGCAGGUAGUGGCCAGGAACCUUCUCACUCCCAAAGAUAACAGACUACUUUCCAAACGGUCUGAUGAGUUGGCUGUUAAGGAUUCUCUGGCUCUCAGUGUUCAGUGUGCAGGUUCUGUGUGUCUAAUAUGGCCCAACGCCUAUUUGCUCGAACCCGCCAAGUUGAAUCAUUGGCGGCUGAAGUGAUGAGUCUCAAACAGGAGAUUAGAGGGCUCAAGCAUGAGAAUAAACAGUUGCACCAGGCUCGCACAUGACUAUGCUACAAACAUGAAGAGGAAGCUUGACCAGAUGAAGGAAUCUGAUGGUCAGGUUUUACUUGAUCAUCAGAGAUUUGUGGGUUUGUUCCAAAGGCAUUUAUUGCCUUCGUCUUCUGGGGUUGUACCGCGUAAUGAAGCUCCAAAUGAUCAACCUCUGAUGCCUCCUCCUUCUAGGGUUCUGUCCAGUACUGAGGCUCCGAAUGAUCCCCCUCCGGUGCCUUCUCUUUCUGGGGCUCUACCGACUGCUGAGACUUCUCCUAAGCAACCUUUGUGAAGGCUCCCUCUUGUUUGUUUAUUUUGACUCAAGUAUAUGUACAUAUUUGUAACUUAUCGGGGAUAUCAAUAAAUAAGCUUUCCUUCAUUUCAACGUAUUGUGUUAAAUACACCAAAGCCUUCUUCGCUAAGUUCUUUGAAUUUUCUUUUGUUGAAGCUUGUAUGUUGAAGCUUUCUGAGUGGAGCAUGUAGGUUGAGGUAGUGUUCCCUUAAUUUCCCGAGUGAGGAAAACUUCUCGGUUGGAGACUUGGAAAAUCCAAGUCACUGAGUGGGAUCGGCUAUAUGAAUCUUAGAACGCCAUUGUGUUCUGUCCUGUGUCAUGUCCUCCGUUAGAUCCAAGUACUCUAAGUCUUUUCUUAGGGUCUCUUCCAAAGUUUUCCUAGGUCUUCCUCUACCCCUUCGGCCCUGAACCUCUGUCCCAUAGUCGCAUCUUCUAAUCGGAGAGUCAGUAGGCCUUCUUUGCACAUGUCCAAACCACCGUAACCGAUUUUCUCUCAUCUUUCCUUCAAUUUCGGCUACUCCUACUUUACCCCGGAUAUCCUCAUUCCUAAUCUUAUCCUUUCUCGUGUGCCCACACAUCCAACGAAGCAUCCUCAUCUCCACUACACCCAUUUUGUGUACGUGUUGAUGCUUCACCGCCCAACAUUCUGUGCCAUACAGCAUCGCCAGCCUUAUUGCCGUCCUAUAAAAUUUUCCCUUGAGCUUCAGUGGCAUACGGCGGUCGCACAACACGCCGGAUGCACUCUUCCACUUCAUCCAUCCAGCUUGUAUUCUAUGGUUGAGAUCUCCAUCUAAUUCUCCGUUCUUUGGGAAUCACCCAACUUGCAUGAGCUGUAACGUAAAGGGAGAAUGAAGAGAAACGCGAUCUGCACUUUCUUCACCAGCCUCAGAAAGAAUGCAGCACUGAGGGCUAACUUUCUCUUUACCCAAUAAACAUAAAAGAAUUUGUAUCUUAGGAGACUUUUUCCUUCCAAAUCUGACCAAUAGGUUAAAGCAUGACAAUGCACAUUCAUUGCAUUAAAAAAAGCAUGUACAUGUUUCUAAAACUUUCUAAUUAGUAGUUGCCCUACCCCCUCCCUCAUUUUUUUGAGCGGUAUAAUCCAAUCUUAUGGUACACCACACCAAACAUUGCAUGGUAUUGAAAGUAUCAUAUCUAGUCUAUUCCAACUAUUGAGCAAAGCCAAUCUAACCAAAUCAUGCGCAAAAAAAUAGAACCAAACAAAUAAACCUAUCAUUGUCACAGUAUGAUCCACUAACCAGAGAUGAAGGAGCGAAAUGUGGAAUAGUCCACACAGUAUUCCAUAUCAUAGUAGAAGUCAGACGGCGAAAUGGAGUUCACUUUUAACCCUACCUGAAAAAGUCAAAAGAUUAGUACUUCACUAGUAUAAUAUACAGCACGUGUUUGGCAAAAUGGCAAGAUACAAGAAAUCAUUAACAGAAGUCAAUUUUUAAACAGUAGAAAUAAUACCUUAGGGGAUAUAUGUGUAACAUUGACUUUUGAAAUAAUGCAAUCUAUCAAAUUAUCGUUCAUUACGGUAGAAUAGAAUAAACGCCUCUUGUCAUGAGAAGUUCCUACUUCUUUAAUAACCUGAGAAACAAAUAGAAAAACCAAAGAAUGGUUAGUGGGAUAUACCUACCAUGGGUCCGUACUCAACAAUUUCACAAACUCACCGUAUCUUCAACUUUAUAAAACCACUGGACUCUAAAAUAUUUUUCUCCAUCAGCUGUCUUGAAAAAUUCUAUGAUCCUUCCCACAUGCUUUUGUCCUUCAUCACCCUGUAAAAAUUACCUUAACAUUUAUUUCAAAUGCUCGUCGGAAUGCAACUAAAACUACAUAAUACUAUGCAUGAGCUCUCCAGGAUAGGUCCAAACAAACUAUAAGUCUGCAACUAACACUACUCUGAAGAGUUAAGGUCGUAUUUGAUGUUUUCCAUACAUCAUACAUCCAACAAAUUUUCCAAAAUAAGACUAUGUAUCAAUAUUCAACACACCUAUAACUACAGAUUAAGAAGGCAUCUACGCAAGUAGAGCAUGUGGAAGCAAUCUGUAAUCGCUUAAAAAAAACCCAUGAUCAGUAGGGCAAAAAGAGAAAGUACCUCUAUGUAAGCACAAUCUCCAAGAUCGAAGAUGCAAUCGCCAAUUUUAGCUUGAGAAAAGUGACAUUCAACGUCCAAAAUUAUCUCAUCUUCUUCAUCUUCACUACAACCAUGUAUAAAUGAGAAAAUAAAAGGCAUAACCACAAUAGAUGAAAAAGGAUCAGCUUCUCGCUACUCGGGAGCACAAUGCCUAAGUUCUUAACUAGUGAGGGGGUCCAAUAACAUGUUCUGUGUAAAACUGUGAGCAAACAUGUUUUAUUUUCCUUAAAAGGAAUCAAAAUAUCUUUUAUAAGACACAUACUUCCUUUGUUACCAUUUUCUCUUGUGAACUGUCAACAUGUCAUUGCUCCUUUUUCAUCACUACUUACCCAGUACAAAAACAAGAACAACUAAUCACAUCCCAUAUGGUGUGGGAUAAUACAUAGCAAUGAAGUCAAAACCCCCUUACAGGGAGAGCAACGUACAUAAAAUGGGGUUCACCGAGACCAUGGCGUCCCGCCAAUAGUCAUUGACAUGUGGAGAGAAGACAAUGAGUUAUUGGACCAGGACACUACGUGGCGGUGAACCCAUUCCAUGUAAGUCAUUCUCCCUCCUGCACUAGGAAGUGACAUACCAUGCCUAUCCCUCUUUCCAACAAAAAAUAUUCCCUGCCUGCACAUUCUUUUCCAUCCAGGUCAUGAGUGAAUCUAUUUUCCAAUUCAAAAGAAGAGGCAUCUUUCACUCCACAUUCAUUUCCAUCCAGGCCGUGGGUGAAUCUAGUGCUUUGAGAACAUAUGUGAUAAGAUUAAGAAUAAAAAUUCUGUGCUCACAAGAGAAGUAGAUGUGUUGAUCCAAGAGAUGCAACAUGUAGUUAGCAAGACAAAAGAGAACAGUGGGAGUAAGUCUAUGACAAAAGACAUUUUCUACUUUUAAAAAAAACAAUGUUUGGUAACAAGGUUAUAUGAACAUAUGCCACUACAUGUUUCUACCACCUCACCAGUCAAGACAAUGUGCUCUGUCCAUGAAGCUCUGAAGAAAACUAUAACCAAACCCUCAAAGAGAUAAUUUAUGAACUAUUUAUUACUCACUUUAGCUUCAAGCUUUGUCUUUUAGAUCUUUGACUCUGCAAAACUCCAACACAGGCACAACCAGAACUAAAUUACACAGGCACAACCAGAACUAAAUCAUAUUAAACACAAUACUGUUGUGGUGUUUAACUAAAAACUCAAGAAACCCUACAACAGAGUUUAAUCUAUUCAAAUCACCAGAUGGCUUCACAAAUACAAGUUAAAUAGUCAAGAGCAAAAAAUUAUUCUACCAACAUAAAAUGAAAUAAAAUUGCAUGGAUAGACAUUAAUACACGUGCACUCAUUUAUAUACAUAUAAAGUGCACUUAUUUAUAUACAUGUUUUUCAUGGAUAUCAUGUAUUUAUGUACAUGCUUAUAAAAUCUGAAUAUAAGUGCAGAUGAGGCCUUCACUACAAGAAGUUGAGUGGCUAAAUAUGCAUCUUUUACUGCUUUAGUUUCCCACCGACAAUAAGAGAAAAACUUAUGGAGAACUUUUUAUGCUGUGUCAACUUUAAUCAUUUUAAAUUAGAGUUUUUUUUUUAGAAGGUGUUAGAAUAUGAAAACAAAUAGUUUACACCAUGUCAGGCUUUGAUCCAGCUGAGGCUAUUUGGGAAGCAACUGUUCGGAUUAUGGUGAAGAUUAGAGGGGGAAUAAUGUGAUCUGCUACAGAAAGAACUGAUGACUUCCUCCUAGCUAGUGCAUCGUGGGUAAGAUAAAAGGGGAAAGUGUAGAUCUCUUGUUGAGAGAGCAAAAAAUGGCACACCAGUCCAUCGUGAAUUUUUAUUCAAGUUUGUGGAGUUCUUGAACUUGAAUUAUAUCUAUUUUUUAUUAUUAAGCAUUAAUGAUGAUAUUCUUGUUGAAUUAUAUUUGUUUUAGUUCAUUUUUAAGCAUGAAUGACAUUUUUAUGGUAUGCCUCAUAAGUCUUAAAAGGCUUAUGCCACACAUAGAGGUUAAUUAUCAUGGUAUGCCUCAUAAAUCUUAAAAGGCUUACGCCACACAUAGCGGUACUUCCAACACUUCCCCUUAUGCCUCAACAAUUUCAAGCUUUGAUAUGUAUAAUGUGCUCUGAUUGCAUAGUGAAGUUCAAGUAAGAGUCUGAACUUAGAGAAGAAAAACGACAUGCAAAUGAAUAAAUCGUUAAGUUGAUUUAUUACCUUCAUUCGAUACCGCCAACCCCAUCUUUCUUGAGCUUCAACAUCAGGAAUUGGAUCUCCAAUGAAAGAAGCACUUUUGAUGUUCUCUUGUUUGUUUUGCUUGUUCUUUGAUGAAUCUAAGGUUUUCCUUUUCUUUGGUGUUUGUUUCACAUAGGUCUCGGGCAAUUCAAUCAAAGCACAUUCUGAUUCUCUUCUUUCAGCCUCAAACAUCGAUCUGGUUCUUCUUUGGGAUUGCCCCAAGUGUGUCUCGUCAAAAAUUUUUGAAUCAGAUUUUCCUAAUGAGAUCAAUAUCUUCUUGGAAGAAAACCCAUCUUCCGAAUCAGACAAUCCAAUGAAACUAGAAUUUAGAUUGGAAGUUUCCUUAGCCACGUCCAAACAAGGGGAAAACUUAGGAGAUCUUCUUAUGUGCUUUUCAUCCAACUUUUCACCAUCAAAAUUGUCUUCAGGAGCUGACAUUAACCUUGAAGACCUCCUCAAGGGUGUAGGUCUCUUAUCACUCUCUCCGUGCCAUGAAAGAGAUGGAUGCUUGACUUCUGUGUCUCUUGAUGAUGUUUCGACAUUAGAAGUAUUUAAUGACAGGGCCUUGGGGCAGCCUUCUUCAGGGGAUUCGAAUUUUCUUAGAGAUCUCUCUUGCGAAGAAACUUUCAGACAGCAGCUUUCCACUGCAGACUGAUUCAUCAACCUUAGAGAUCUCCUCAUAGACUUCUCUGCUAAGCUUUCUACACUUGAUACUGUAUAUUUCUGUUCAUCAUCACUGCAACAAGCAAACAUGCAGAAGUCAAGAAAAUUGACGUAUGAAUCAUAUGAUGAAUGUGAAUGCCCCACAGCUAAAAUGUUUGAAAAUUUAGGACUCACUUUGAUCCGAUGGUUCCACCCUUGUACCUUUUAUGCUGCAUAAGCCAAUAAUCCAUUCUUGAAAUUAGAAUGUGUAAACUGAUGUAAAUGGUUAACGAGACAUAAGACAACUGACAUAGCAAAUACAAUUAUGACAUAUUGGGAACCAUCACCAAAAAAUGAAACAAACAAACAAGAGCUUCAUGGGAAAUGUUAAACUAUCAUGAGGAAGACGAAGGUGUCAAGAUUUCAGAGAGAUGGCAAUCAGACCACAACAUUUUCAUAGGGACAGGGAGGCCUCAAAAUUGCCUACCAUGAAAUAUUAUUAGCUUGCUCAUAAAAUUAUUCUAUUUUUCUUUCUGAACUAAAAUUUUGAACAAUAAGUGUUUGGGCGUGUUCAAAAAGGUUUGCAAUGUAUUAAAUCAUAUGUCAAGAUUGUGUAAGAUGUGGAAAGGGAACAUCACGAAAAUGUUACAACUCUUGCCAAAUUUAUGGUUGCUAUACAUAGGAAGGAGACCUAACUUCAAACAAGGUUUAUGCUUAAUGAAUUUGACCGUUUUGAUUCUGGAGUAUAAUGCCGCAAUGUUGUAUUUGUGUUAGCAUUAACAGGCCAAGUACAGUUAAUCGUAUUUUUCCAGGCGGUUCAAGGAUCACACAGUAUUUAAAUGUGUAUGAGAAUCAUUUGACUUCUUAACUUUCCCGGCGUUUACUAACACAUGAAAUUGGAAAGGCGUGAGCUUCCCCUUGAAAUUCAUAAUCAAAUACCUAAAAAUCAGGAAUCAUAUCAACUAAGGGGGACUAGUUUAUCUGAUUCCCUUUCCCAAAUUCUCUGUUUCUUUAUGUGGCCUUUCUCCAAUGAGGCCCCUCAUGUUUCAUAAAAACGGAACUCAUGGCUGUCAAUCACUUUUAACAUUUUUUUUUUUUUGAACAAACAAUGUUAUCUACACUAAAAGAGAGGGGGUGGGCUUAGCCUCACAAUGAGCUAGCAAUAAUGUGGUUAAAAUUCACCUUUGGCCAAAAUUAAACCUAAAACCUCUUAGUUACAAGUGAACAGCAAUAUCACUAGACCGUAGUAAGUGGCUUAACAAAAAUUACUUUUUUUUACUAAUAGUGACAUUUAUUUUUAAAAAAAAAAACCCCCAUCUUUGUAUUUUUAUUUUUACUAUUAUUGGGGACAAGGAUGAGAGUUCGAAACUAUUAAAAUAAGUUAGGGAGGGUUUCGAAUUAAAGACAUAUGGGUAGAAACUCAACACUCUAUCCUCUAGGAUAUUUGACCACAUGAACACAAAAAACCUAUCUAUUUACCUCAUAAGUCAAAUAAAAAUUACUGACUGAAAUGCAAAACAAAGACUAGAUACAUAAAACAUCUGAACCAAAAAAAUAUUCUUUUAUUUGUAAUAUUUUUUAAUUUUUGUUCUGUAUUAAAUCAAAGUAUUAUUUUAGAUGUAAAUUAAUAAUUCUAAUAGGGAUUUUCUAACAAAUAAAGAUAAAAACUGUGGAAUACGUUCGUGAAGAAAUUACUUCUAAUUACUUUUAAAAGCUUAAAAGGGUACAAAUGUCACUUCAACUAAAGUGGGUCCGAAUGGUUGAAAGUCUCUGGCGCCAAUAAGCGUUCGGGUUUAAUAAAUGAAAGAUGAAACAAGCAUCUAAUCCCUUUUGGACAAAAGUCAAACUCACCAUCCGCACGAUUCUUAAGAUUCAAUGAUCCGACGGAUGAGAAGCAUCUGAUUAAUACACAAUUUCUCAAGAAAAAAGAAAAAGAAACAUAAAAGUAUUUAAUUUCAACGAGAAAAACUAUAAAAAUAUGCAAAUAAUAUGAAAUUUAAGGAUUAAAAAAAUUAAAAAAUACUUAAAAGAAUUAUUAAUUAAGAAUUAAAAGAAAAUUAAAGAUAGUAAACGGUGAGUAAUGACGCAAGCACCUGAACUGAUGGAGUCUUAAUCUUGCUGCUCUCAGCUUCUUCCAGGACGGAUGACGUAAAUCUGGGAGACCUUCUCACACUCGCACGCUUGGCGUCGUCGAUCUUCCUGGAAGCUGCAUUUGCCGAAGUAUCCUUGACGACCUCCUCCUUCUGCGCCGGCGGCAACGGCGACAGUCUCGGCGACCUUCUCACGCACUCGGGCCGCCGCUGCUGAAUCUUGCGCCGUAGUCGUGGGUCGUCGUGGUCGUGCGAGUUCAGUGGCACUGCUUCCUCCUCACAAGCCACAUUUUCCACGAGCACCGACAAUGCCAUCGGUUCCGAUUCGGAUUUCGAUUCCGAUUUGGAAUCGGAGUUGGGUUUUGGUGGCGCCCACAUUUUAUUUCUUUUUUUUGGGGGGGGGGGGGUGGGAUGGGGGAUUUUGGGCAAAUGGUGAAAUAAAUGGAAAUUAUUGAAACGCAAAGAAGGAAACGGUGGGAAGCAGUUUCGUUCUUCCGAUGACUCCAAAGAAGAGAGGCUGGGCAAAAAUAUAUGUCCUCUUUCUCGCAUGACACAUCUCACGAGGCAAUGGAGGCGCACGAAUAAAUAGUGGUAUACCCACUCAUAUUUUACAAAAUAAAUUAGAGUAACCUCAACUAUUGAUAUUAAGACACUUUCAUAUCUUAUCUUUUAAAAUUGACAAUGUCAUAUCUCAUCUUACGAAUUUGUAUCAAUGUUAGACAUCCGUCCGUUUUCUGUUAAUUUCUCUGUUAAAUGCUGACGUUGUCCGACACGUGUCCACUCACUAAUCAAAUUGGAUUAAAAAAUAAUUAAAUAUAUUUUUAAUAAUUAAAUAUUCAAAAAUUAAAAAAUAUAUAUAUAUAUAUUAAAUCUCUCUCUCCCCUUUCUCGCCUCUCUCUUCUCUGCAACCCAAAACCCCUUCCCACCCGUCCUUCACCACCCUCUCUCUCUCCUCUCUCUCCCCCCCCCUUUCUCGGCUCUCUCUCUUCUCUGCAUCCCAGAAGACCCAGACCUCGGAGGAACAAAACCCACCUUCCCAUUGCAGCAAUUGUUGCCGCAAUUCGAAAACCCCAAAACGAAGAACCCAAUAUUUCUCGACUACUCCGCCACCCUCAAUCUGGAGAUCGCAAUGACGUCAUUCCACGGCAUCAUCUUCCUCGACUACUUCGCCUCCCUCACUCUACCACCCUCGAUCUGCACCUGGACACCCAAAACGAUGGCGUCGACCUGAAGUCGGACUGGGAACCGGUCUGAUUUGUGACGAAGUCCGAGUCUGUGGGGUAGUGGGGGGGGACGCGGGUCAAUAGGCAAGAGUUUGGGGGGACGGGUCAAUAGGCAAGAGUUUGGCGGAUGAAAAAACCCAGGUGGGUUUAGGCGGUUCUAGGCACGAAGAGUGAGAGAAGUGGGGAGGAAGGAACUACGAUGGAGAGGAGAAGGAGAGGCAAAAGAGAGGGUGGUGGAGGACGGGUGAGAAGGGGUCGGGUGGGAAGGGGUUUUGGGUCUUUUGAGAUGCAAAGAAGAGAGAGAGGCAAGAAAGGGGGGGGGAGAAAGAGGAGAUAGAAAGAGAAAGAGAGAGAGAGAGAGAUUUAAUAUAUAUAUAUAUAUAUAUAUAUUUUUAUUAUUAUUUAAUUAUUUUUUUAAUCCAGUUGAAUUAGUGAGUGGGACACGUGUCGGCCCACGUCAGCAUUUAAUAGAGAAAUUAACAGAAAAACUGACGGAUGUCUGACAUUGGCACAAAUUCGUAAGAUGAGGUAUGACAUUGUCAAUUUUAAAAGAUGAGGUAUGAAAAUGUCGUGACACCAAUAGUUGAGAUAGUUUUUUGUACUUUACCCAACAAAUUAUUUGUAUUUUGAGGAUUUUGCACGAACUCGAUUGAAAUCUAUCACUUAAGUUAUUUUUUAUUUAUUUUUUCAUAAAAACAUGCAUGUGACUCACGUGGAGAGUUAUUUUUGUCAAUUCACUGCCUAGGGCUCUUUAGAAUCAAUUUAUGUGAAAGCAAAAGGAAUUUUUAAUAGCGUUAGAGUAAGGUCAUGAAGAGCAAGGGAAAAGUUGAUUUUUAAUUAGAUUUUGGCAAGGGUUGUUGAAGAAUUGAAGUGAAAAUUAUGCUAAAAUCUAGUCCUUCAUUUACAAUAAAUUUCAAUUUUUUUUUUUUUGUAAGUCAGCAAGUGGGUAUGUGAUUAAGGUAUUAUUCAAAUAUUAAGUUUUCAUACUCUGAUGUAGGGAAUUGCCGGAUUGGGGCUGUACAAACCCCAAAUUUGGAGCUAUAUUGACUGAGGCAGUAUUACUUUGCAGUCAAUUUGAUUCUAGUCAGCCCCAUUAAGUGAAUUGAUGAAAAUAUCCCUACAUGUGACAUGUUUUAAUGGCAAAAUGGAUGAAAAGUAACGUAAGUGAUAGAUUCUAACUUAAGACGGUCUAGUUGGAAAAAUUAAAAAUUUAGUGGCAAUAUUGCAUAUGCUUACAAGGUCAGGUGGUACUUGUGCAAAAAAUCUUUGUAUUUUUAAUAUUUAAUAUUAAUUAGACCCGUAAACGGUAUGGCUGCUACCAUACCUGACCCGUUUAACUAUCGUAGACAAUGUGCCAAUUUCACCACACCCCUUAGAUCUUCAGAUGGGUAGAUGAACAUAGAAAGAGAGAGACCAAUAAUUACCUCAAUCAUCCUUGGUCAUGGCUACAAGCAACCCCUCAUCGCCACAGCCGCCACCGCCAUCGGUUCCAUCUUCUGCCUUCCAGCCAGUUUUUUCAGAAACAUAUGGUUCUUCCUACAAUACAUUGCCGCCAUAGUUUGUGCCAUCGUCAUUGCCACUGCCUGCCACGCCCACCACCUCGGCCUAAUGAUCUGCGGCUUCACUGGCAAUCCAAAAAUCCAACAUUCCGAGCCUGAAGAGGAGUCUCUCUUGGCUCUCGCUCUACUACGCUGCCGCGGCCAACUCAUUAUGCUCCGCCGUCUUCUCAUCCUUUAAAGCUGCCGGCCAUGUGAGGCACGAGAACAAGCGAGGAGGCUUGCCUGUUAGUGGCCUUGAUACUGCCUGUGAGACACAAGAACCGGCAGCUGUACACUUAAUUGGCGGCACCAGACGCAGUUACGAGAAAAAUAAUGAACUACAUCGGUAUAUAUUGUUUUCUACACCAUUUUCAAAUGCCGCUAUUUGGGAAAAGCGUCGAGAACAAGGUGCUGCACAUGGUCAUAAACACAAAUGCUGCAAUUUUCUAGUACCAAGUAUUGCAAGAGAUCACAAAUGAAAGGAAAAUUAUUCUCCAAAUGCUUCAAGACGGAUAAUCUAUAUCAAUACUUGAAGCUUGAGUCGCAUCGAAAAAGUUGUUAUUUCUCUCUGAUACAUUCCAGUAUUGCAAAAACGCUCGUAAAAAACUUCUCACCAAGCAGUUGUCCACGGAAUACAAGUUUAAAAAGACAACUAUAGCUGAUUGUUCUCAUCAGCUAAUCAGGUAUAGCCUCGAAUUGAACUUGUCAAUGGUUAAAACCUUCUAGCUGCUAAAUCACUGCUUGUUCAAAGGAAUCAGAAACGGAAACUAAAGAAAGAAACCGGUAGCACCUACCAGAGGACUCAAACUUUUAACCGCAAAAAUUGAGCUUCUUCAUCACUGUAGCAUAAGCAGGAUGGACAAGGGCAGGUACUCUUAGUCUACGCUUAGAUAUCUUCGACUGCAUAGGAUACAAAAUUUCAUUAAUUUCAGGAACAAAUUGGUACGUCUAGAGCUCUGGUCUACUAAAUACCAUUCGUAAAUCAUGAAUGUACCUCGGACCAAAAAUAAAAUAAAAAAAUUGUGAAUGCACCAUUAUAAAAAAUGUCGUACUCAGUGCACAAGGCUCCCGCUUUACGCAGGGUCUAGGAGAGGUGAAUGUCGGCUAGCCUUACCCCCAUUUAUGGAGAGGCUGCUCCCAAGUCUCGAACCCGAGACAUACCGCUCAUGGACGAAGGCACUUGCCAUCGCACUAAGUGCGACCUCUAUAAUGAGAGAAGAAAGGCAUUUGCAAUAAAAGGAACGAAAGUCUGAUCGAGCAUGUCAAGACACCAAUAAGAGAUUUAGCUGCACUAAUAGGGCAAUGGACAAGAAUACAUACUCGUUCAUGUUGCUUCCCAGACAGAGGAGCUAAUCAACAUAUUGAUGACCAAAAUAAACAUAAUCCACAAAUGAGGUAGGGGAAAAAGAAAAGAACUGUGACCCUAAUGACGACAAUGCCAAUUCAUCCGGAAUUGUUUCACCAGAAACAAACAUAUACCAAGCAGCAUGCAUCAUGAAAUUAAAGAAAUAACUAGUCCAAAUUAUAAUCAACAAUCGACGCACCAAUAUAACUCCUUUUUGUAUAAUGUCUCAAAUUAAUGGGGAUCAAUCAUGUGCUUACAAGACUUUAUUUUACUCGAAUCUUUAAAAAUCUUGUACCCUUUAGUGCUCCCAAAAUCCGUUAUUUAGGAACAUUGCAGGCCACGAGAUACCAGCUAAUGUAACAACUUUUCAUCAAUUUCAUUUAGAAAUCACAACUCAGGAUAAGAGUGUCCUUUUGCUAACAAAGCUGUGCAAAUAGCGUUGCUGUACAUUCUUAAAUAGAGAGGCGCUUUCACAUCUUCUUAACUGGAAACGGCUGGGGAGAGGAAAGAUUUCAUUUUUAAGGGCUUGUAUAGGCCAUAUGCGGGAUACUUAUAGAUAGACAUAAACCAAGGGUGCUGGUCAGCAAAUGAAAACUGGUUGUAAGGGAAUUUUCAGUAGGUAAUUGAACUUCAAACUUGCUGAGUACCACUCUAAGUAACAAAAAUAGUGAAAAAUAAAUAAAAAUCGCUUGUUCCGCAUGUGACAUCAUGACUUGUAGGUUUCAAUGGAGCAAUAUUGUAACUAGAGCAGUCGUUCAAACAACUCUCUUUUUAUUAUAUGUAGAAAACUUUACAGGAACCUGAAAUGUGAAUAAGCAAUAUGACAACACUUAUCUAAUGCUUUGGGAGACACCUAACACAAAAAAAAACACACGUGCUAACAUAUAGUGAAUGUAUCUAUAUGAAUAUAUGAAAUGAGAAACCAAGAUGAUUGACCACCUAUAUUGCAAGUUGAAGCCAUCAGGAGUUUUGUAUUGCAAAUCAUUCUCAAGGCGAUUAUUGGAUGAUUCUUGUCCUUGUCCUUUUGGUCCCUCUCAAGCAAUUCGGGAGGCUAAAGUACAACCUAAAGUAAAUGUAUUAGCUUGCGUUAUUGCAUCUCCAACUUACAGGUAUUAACCUAGUGUAGAAUUAACGCAGAAUUUUGAACCAUUUUAAUGUUUCAUUGUCCAGUUGCAUAUUUCUCGUGGAUAAUGUUCACUAGAAAAAGCGAGUUUGUCAGAUUCCAGCCACUUAUGCAAUGGCGUAGCCACCCACAAGGCUAAGGUGGGCUGUAGCCCAGGGAGGUUUUCUGUAAGAGUAGUGUUAUCCAUGCACUCAUUUUUAUUGCUCACACACUCCUCUCAAUUUUCUAUUGUUCGGAUCGAAUGAAUUGAAAAUGAUCACAUAUACAAAAUUAAUAAGGUUGUGUUGGAGGUAAAAAUGAGUUUGUGAAUAGAAUUAUUCUUUUGUAAACUCAUGCUUAUAGCCUACUCAAUUUCAAUACGUAUUAUUAUUUAAUGUAUAUUUAGUAGAGGAUAUGUAGUAAAUAAUACGUUUUAUGCUAAAAAUUAUAAAUUAGUUAUAUCUCCAGUCCCCCUUUAUCUUAUUCUUUAAACAAAAAGACCAAUUACCCUAUGUAAUUUAGUCUUUGUGCUUCUUACUCAAGAAAAGAAUUUUUUUUUUAAAUCCACAAUUAAAUCUCUAUCUCCGCAAUUCCUUACUUUGUGUUGCGAUUUUCCAAUGAAUGUCACCUUUGGUAUGUUCUUAAUCACUUUAUUUACUUAUUCUUGAUUUAAUUAGUAGGUUAAUUUUAUAUGGUCCUUGAAUGUAUCAGUUAGGGUUAUGAUUUUAAGAAUAGUUUAUAUUAUAUUGUUGUUCUUUUAUAUUGAUUAUUAUAUAAUUUUAUAUGAGCAAAAAAAUAAACAUAUGAUUUUAUGGUACUAUUUUCAGCUAGCCCACCCAAGAAAAAAAUCCUAGCUUCGCCCUUGCACUUAUGUGAAAAGUUAAAAGUUUUUUGGAGGGAGGAAAGGGUUUGGUGCUAGGGGCAUGCCUCCUCGAAAAAUGAAUGUCACAAAUUAGAGCUACUGGCCAGCAAACAAAUAGAUGAUCACAUUCUCUUCUUUCAUCUUUACACAUAAUAGACCAAUAAGGGGAGAGACGGCAAUUGGUUCUUCUUUGUUUAUUUUCUGAUUGCAGAUGCUCACCAGUCUGCCCUACAUCACUAUGUGGUCUCAACAAAAGCAAAACGUUUAUAAGGAGGAAAUCGCCACUAUUGUCACGUGUGCGCCAUACUACCCUGUCAGCAAUGGAGAUGGAAAAGUAAAGAAAGAUUGAGGUAACUUCACACGCACUUAAACUUUGAGGGGCAAAGUGAGACACAAGUGAUAUUUUGAGAGGCAUUGCGAUAAAUAACCCUAUUUUGUAUUUUUGACAUUCUAUCAGCAUAACUCCGCCUAUGUCUUACAUGGCCGGUCCCAAGCCCGGAUAAAGGAGGAGGGGGAGGGCGUCAGGUAGUCGACAGUCGGCACUCCAUGAUCACGUCGAAUCCUUAUGAAAAUGAAUCCAGAACAAAAUCGCGCUAAAGCUAGGGCGUCACCCGUAAGUGGCGAGCUGUGUGGCCCGAGCACAGUGAUAAGUGAGCAAGGGUCGCUGUAUCUCCAUCGGCACCCAGAUGCAGUGUUAAAUGAGCAAGGGGGCCAUAGAAACUUCUUUUCGAACGAUUCCACUCAAAGUUGUUUGGGAGCAUAUGCUCCUAUCAACUUUACCCGGGACACACAAAAGAAGUACUUUGAUCCUAUUAGACGGGGGAGGGUGAAGAAGCUAGGACAGAAGGGUAGAGUUCAAGAGAGCAAAAUGCGUUUAGGAACGUGGAAUAUAGGAACCUUAACGGGAAAAUUCAUGGAAGUAGUGGAAGUUAUGGUGAGGAGAAGGAUAAAUAUUAUGUGCCUACAAGAAACUAAGUGGGUUGGUAGUAAGGCAAAGGAUCUAGAAAACUCAGGGUUUAAACUUUGGUAUUCGGGCACAAAUAGAACGAGAAACGGUGUUGGCAUCAUCGUGGACAAAACCUUGGUACAAGAUGUUGUAGAUGUCAAGAGGGUAGGAGAUAGAAUCAUGGCAAUCAAGAUUGUAAUAGGACAAGAACUUAUCAAUGUGAUUAGUGCGUACGCACCUCAAGUAGGGUUGGAUACGAGUUCGAAGGAGAAAUUUUGGGAAGAUCUUGGAGACUUGGUGCAAGGAAUUGCUCAGACGGAGAAGUUAUUUAUAGGAGGAGAUUUAAAUGGACACGUGGGCAGGGAGACAGGCAACUAUGGAGGUUUUCAUGGUGGCCAUGGUUUUGGGGAGAGAAACGAGGAUGGGGAAGCUAUCUUGGAUUUUGCAAUGGCAUAUGAUCUCUUCUUAGCCAACACCUUCUUUAAGAAGAGAGAAGAACAUGUGAUCACCUACAAGAAUGGGUCGUCAAAAACACAAAUAGAUUUUCUUCUAAUGAGGAAAGGGGAUCGUAUAACUUGUAAGAAUUGCAAAGUUAUACCAGGAGAGAGUGGCUAAUCAACAUCGCUUGUUGGUGAUGGAUGUACAUAUCAAAAGAGUAAGACAAAAGAACAAGACUUGGAAGUGCCCAAUGACUAGAUGGUGGAAUCUAAAAGAAGAAAAACAAGCCAUUUUCAAAGAGAAGGUAAUCACCCAAUGUGUGUGGGAUAGAGAGGGGGAAGCUAGUCUUUUCAAUGAAGGACAUGAAAUGAGUGCUUCUUUAGGGGAGUUGAGUAACUCAGAAGAGUGUAGAAACUACUCUUUUUAUCGUCGAAUCCGGAAGGAAGAAGUGGUUGUAGCUUUGAAGAAGAUGAAGCAUAAAAAAGCAAUAGGCCCAAACGAUAUACCAAUCGAAGUGUGGAAACUUUUGGGAGAGACAGGUAUAACAUGGCUCACUGACCUUUUCAAUAGGAUUUUGAAAACGAAGAAGAUGCCAAAUGAGUGGCGAACGAGCACUUUGGUGCCUAUCUACAAGAAUAAGGGCGACGUACAAAAUUGCAUGAACUAUAGGGGUAUUAAGCUAAUGAGUCAUACAAUGAAGCUCUGGGAGAGAGUCAUUGAGCAUAGAUUGAGGCAAGAGACACGGGUUUCGGACAACCAAUUCGGGUUCAUGCCAGGGCGCUCAACCAUGGAGGCAAUCUAUCUCUUACGAAGAUUGAUGGAAAGAUAUAGAGAUGGGAAAGAGGAUUUACACAUGGUCUUUAUAGAUUUGGAAAAAGCGUAUGAUAGGGUCCCAAGAGACAUUCUUUGGAGGAUUUUAGAGAAGAAAGGAGUACGAGUAGCAUAUAUCCAAGCUAUAAAGGAUAUGUAUGAAGGAGCAAAGACUGCCGUAAGAACUCAUGAAGGACAAACCGAAAGCUUUCCCAUAACUGUAGGAUUACAUCAAGGCUCAUCCUUAAGUCCUUACCUUUUUGCGUUGGUAAUGGAUGAGUUAACAGGACAUAUUCAAGAUGAUAUUCCUUGGUGUAUGCUUUUCGCAGAAGAUAUAGUGUUGAUAGAUGAAACUCAGGAAGGGGUAAAUGCAAAGCUUAACCUUUGGAGAGAAGUGUUGGAAUCUAAAGGUCUUCGCCUAAGCCGAUCAAAGACAGAAUAUAUGGAGUGCAAGUUCAAUGCAAAUGGAGGCCAAAACGAGUUAGGGGUGAGGAUCGGAGAUCAAGAAAUACCAAAGAGCGACCGUUUUCGUUACCUAUGAUCUAUCUUGCAAAAGAACGGAGAAUUAGAUGGAGAUCUCAACCAUAGAAUACAAGCUGGAUGGAUGAAGUGGAAGAGUGCAUCCGGCGUGUUAUGUGACCGCCGUAUGCCACUGAAGCUCAAGGGAAACUUUUAUAGGACAGCAAUAAGGCCGGCAAUGCUGUAUGGCACAGAAUGUUGGGCGGUGAAACAUCAACACGUACACAAAAUGGGUGUAGCGGAGAUGAGGAUGCUUCGUUGGAUGUGUGGGCACACGAGAAAGGAUAAGAUUAGGAAUGAGGAUAUCCGGGGUAAAGUAGGAGUAGCCGAAAUUGAAGGAAAGAUGAGAGAAAAUCGGUUACGGUGGUUUGGACAUGUGCAAAGAAGGCCUACUGACGCUCCGAUUAGAAGAUGCGACUAUGGGACAGAGGUUCAGGGCCGAAGGGGUAGAGGAAGACCUAGGAAAACUUUGGAAGAGACUCUAAGAAAAGACUUAGAGUACUUAGAUAUAACGAAGGACAUGACACAGGAUCGAGCACAAUGGCGUUCUAAGAUUCAUAUAGCCGAUCCCACUCAGUGACUUGGAUUUUCCAAGUCUCCAACCGAGAAGUUUUCCUCACUCGGAAAAUUAAGGGAACACUACCCCAACCUACAUGCUCCACUCAGAAAGCUUCAACAUACAAGCUUCAACAAAAGAAAAUUCAAAGAACUUAGCGAAGAAGGCUUUGGUGUAUUUAACACAAUACGUUGAAAUGAAGGAAAGCUUAUUUAUUGAUAUCCCCGAUAAGCUACAAAUAUGUACAUAUACAUGAGUCAAAAUAAACACACAAGAGGGAGCCUUCACAAAGGUUGCUUAGGAGAAGUCUUAGCAGUUGGUAGAGCCCCAGAAAGAGAAGGCACCGGAGGGGGAUCAUUUGGAGCCUCAGUACUGGACAGAACCCUAGAAGGAGGAGGCAUCAGAGGUUGAUCAUUUGGAGCUUCAUUACGCGGUACAGCCCCAGAAGACGAAGGCAAUAAAUGCCUUUGGAACAAACCCACAAAUCUCUGAUGAUCAAGUAAAACCUGACCAUCAGUUUCCUUCAUCUGGUCAAGCUUCCUCUUCAUGUUUGUAGCAUAGUCAUGUGCGAGCCGGUGCAACUGUUUAUUCUCAUGCUUGAGCCCUCUAAUCUCCUGUUUGAGACUCAACACUUCAGCCGCCAAUGAUUCAACUUGGCGGGUUCGAGCAAAUAGGCGUUGGGCCAUAUUAGACACAGAACCUGCACACUGAACACUGAGAGCCAGCGAAUCCUUAACAGCUAACUCAUCAGACCGUUUGGAAAGUAGUCUGUUAUCUUUGGGAGUGAGAAGGUUCCUGGCCACCACCGCAGCGGUCAUAUCAUUCUUCAUCACGGAAUCCCCAACGGUAAGAGGACCAGUAGGGAAGACGAAGGAUGGGCGCCAUAUGUUGUCUGGAGAAGGCGGGACUGCCUCUUCAACAAGGUUCAAGUCAAAACGACGGUCGGAGGGGCCAGACAUUUUCAAAGGUGUUGAAGAGAGAAGAGGUCGGACAAAUCAAGAUCUUAGAAGUGCAAGAAUGAAGCUUCUACUGGUGGAGAUUCAAGUGUGCUUUGGAACUUAAUGACAGCCCCUAUAAAAAUCUGCACUCGACGGAGCUUCAGAAAUCGAAGAGGCGUCUGCUCAGAAAUCGAAGAGGCGUUUGCUUUCUCAAAAGCUGGGCUGCUUAGAGAUCACGAGGGUUGAUCUCAGAAAUCGAAGAGGUGUUUGCUUUCUCAAAAGUUAGGCUGCUCAAAGACCACGAAGGUCGAUCUCAGAAAUCGAAGAGGCGCUCGCUUUCUCAAAAGCUGGGCUCCCCAGAGACCACGAGGGCCGAUCUCAGAAAUCGAAGAGGCACCUACUUUUCCAGCCUUGUCAGCACCUGUCACACGCAUACUCAGCUUUGCGGAAAUUAUGGGCAUUCUGUCGAAGACUUCUGGGGAAGUAGAAAACACAUGAAUCUUACUGUUCAAUCACCCACUUCCCACACGCAACAAUAGCUCAUGGGUACCACAGAUAACUUUGCCAAAGUUCUCUGCCAAAGUUGAGCACGUGAAGCUUGCAGCUCCCACUACAUCGCUCUGACCAAGAAGGGUAAAAUAAUAGCAAAGAAACAGCACUAACAAAGUUUAGACCCAUAAAUUUUGAAGGUCUAGCUACCAUAUUAUUACCCACAAAGGUAAAGGAACAGUACCACUGCUGGAUAAUUGGAAAGUCCCUGUGUGUCAACCUCUGUGCUUCGUGGCAAGGUAGACUAGCAAACAUGCCCAACCUUUACUCACAUUCGAGAAAACACUCUCAAUAAGAUUGCUUGCUCCAAAAUCGAAGAGGCACCGUCCUCCGAAUCUCGAGAGCCAGACUCCCAACAUGACUACUUUCUUAAAAAUCGAAGAGAGGGUAAAGAAACAGUACCAUUGCUGGAUAAUUGGAAAGUCCUUGUGUGUCAACCUCUGUGCUUCGUGGCAAGGUAGACUAGCAAACAUGUCCAACCUUUACUCACAUUCGAGAAAACACUCCCAACAAGAUUGCUUGCUCCAAAAUCGAAGAGGCACCGUCCUCCGAAUCUUGAGAGCCAGACUCCCAAAAUGAUUACUUUCUCAAAAAUCGAAGAGACACUGCUCCCCGAAUCUUCGAGAGCCAGACCCCCAGCAUGAUUGCUUUCUCAAAAAUCGAUGAGGCAUCGUUCUCCGAAUCAAUCGAAGAGGCGCUCGCUUUCUCAAAAGCUGGGCUGCUCAGAGACCACGAGGGCCGAUCUCAGAAAUCGAAGAGGCACCUACUUUUCUAGCCUUGUCAGCACCUGUCACAAGCACACUCAGCUUUGCAGAAAUUAUGGGCAUUCUGUCGAAGACUUCUGGUGAAGUAGAAAGCACAUGAAUCUUACUGUUCAAUCACCCACUUCCCACAAGCAACAAUAGCUCAUGGGUACCACAGAUAACUUUGCCAAAGUUUUUUGCCAAAGUUGAGCACGUGAAGCUUGCAGCUCCCACUACAUCGCUCUGACCAAGAAAGGUAAAAGAAUAGCAAAGAAACAGCACUAACAAAGUUUAGACACAUAAAUUUUGAAGGUCUAGCUACCAUAUUAUUACCCACAAGGGUAAAGGAACAGUACCACUGCUGGAUAAUUGGAAAGUCCCUGUGUGUCAACCUCUGUGCUUCGUGGCAAGGUAGACUAGCAAACAUGCCCAACCUUUACUCACAUUCGAGAAAACACUCCCAACAAGAUUGCUUGCUCCAAAAUCGAAGAGGCACCGUCCUCCGAAUCUCGAGAGCCAGACUCCCAACAUGACUACUUUUCUCAAAAUCGAAGAGAGGGUAAAGGAACAGUACCAUUGCUGGAUAAUUGGAAAGUCCCUGUGUGUCAACCUUUGUGCUUCGUGGCAAGGUAGACUAGCAAACAUGCCCAACCUUUACUCACAUUCGAGACAACACUCCCAACAAGAUUGCUUGCUCCAAAAUCGAAGAGGCACCGCCCUCCGAAUCUCGAGAGCCAGACUCCCAACAAGAAUACUUCCUCAAAAAAUCGAAGAGACACUGCUCUCCGAAUCUCGAGAGCCAGACCCCCAGCAUGAUUGCUUUCUCAAAAAUCGAAGAGGCAUCGUUCUCCGAAUCUCGAGAGCCAGAUACCACAGACCACUUUUUCAAAGUGCUCUGACAGAGUUAAAACAUGUGAAACUGGCAGCUCCCACUACCGUGCUAUGACCAAGCAGGGUAAAGGAAUAGCAUUACUACUUGUUGUUAGGGAGACUCCUAUAUAUGUCGACCUCCAUCCCCAACGGACAGGCAGACCUGCAAAAAUGUUCAACCCUUCAUCAUAUCUGAGAGGGCACUCCCAACGAAGCCUUUCGAAAUAUUCAGCUUUCUUUCCCCCCGAUAAUACCUCUGCAAACAAGCUAUACUAGAGCAAGAAUAUCUCAUAUCAUCAGGGUUAAAAGCAAGAGUAUCCCAUAUCAUGCUUUUUCCCUGUCUUUUCCUUUGGCCUUGUUUUUACCUACAAGACAAGGAGAAAGAGAGCAAUCAGUCAGCACUUGGAAUCAAACUUCCAGCCAGGAACUGACUGCCUAGAACCCCUUACCUGAUUACUUACCUGUCAUUGCUCUCGAGUACUCAUCUUCAACAUCUUAUGUUUCUAGGGAAGAUUCCGCAUCUGCUUGAGGAACAGAUAGGGCAAGUGCGAAGGAUACAAGGAAGCAUGUGGAGACAAGCGUAACAGCACACGUGCCGAUACAUCCAUUACUCUGUCAAAAGUAAAAGUAUCCCAUAUCAGCAGGGUGGAACGUACUCUAGAUUUGAUGGACUUGUUUUGACCCUCAAAUUCUUCAGUCGGCCUUAUACUCUGGAGGAAACCAGAAAACCCUCCAGCUCAGUUCAAGAAUAAGCCUGUGGAAAGUUACUUCUUCAAAAGCAAAAGUAUCUCAUAUCAUCUCUUCUCAUUUUUCUUCUCUUUAUCCUUCAUGCUGCUGCAAGAUGGGGAGAAGGUGAACAAUCAGUCGGAGCUCUGAUUGCUUACCUUGUCUGUCACCUCUUUCAGCAGACCCCUUAGCUCGGCGACUUGGGGGACUCCUACUACAUGGUUUGUAUCGCGCUUGACCAAGCCUGAAACUACAAGUAAGCUUCAAGUGAAAUUGAUACAUUACCUUGUGCAUCUCCACCAGUUAAAGAUACCACCCCUGGAUGGAGGAAGAGUACUUCCAGAGAAGAUGCCACAUCUACCUAUGAGACAGAUAAGGCAAUUCAAGACGACACCACACUCCGAUACUUAGAAGUUUCGUGAUUACGAGAUCAUUCUCCCACAAUAUUUCCUAAUGUCAUUUGUACUAAAUCAUUCACUUGUACUCACUAAAGGAGAGCUUGAACCUAUGUACUUGUGUAAACCCUUCACAAUUAAUGAGAACUCUUAUAUUCCGUGGACGUAGCCAAUCUGGGUGAACCACGUACAUCUUGUGUUUGUUUUCCUAUCUCUAUCCAUUUAUAUACUUAUCCACACUAAUGACCGGAGCAAUCUAGCGAAGAUCACAAAAAGCGACCGUUUUCGCUACCUAUGAUCUAUCUUGCAAGAGAACGGAGAAUUAGAUGGAGAUCUCAACCAUAGAAUACGAGCUGGAUGGAUGAAGUGUAAGAGUGCAUCCGGCGUGUUGUGUGACCGUCGUAGGCCACUGAAGCUCAAGGGAAAAUUUUAUAGGACGGUAAUAAGGCCAGCGAUGUUGUAUGGCACAGAAUGUUGGGCGGUGAAGCAUCAACACGUACACAAAAUGGGUGUAGCGGAGAUGAGGAUACUUCGUGGGAUGUGUGGGCACACGAGAAAGGAUAAGAUUGGGAAUGAGGAUAUCCGAGGUAAAGUAGGAGUAGCCGAAAUUGUAGGAAAGAUGAGAGAAAAUCGGCUCCGGUGAUUUGGACAUGUGCAAAGAAGGCCGACUGACGCUCCGGUUCGAAGAUGUGACUACGGGACAGAGGUUCAGGGCCGAAGGGGUAGAGGAAGACCUAGGAAAACUUUGGAAGAGACUCUAAGAAAAGACUUAGAGUACUUGGAUCUAACGGAGGACAUGACACAAAACCGAGCGCAAUGGCGUUCUAGGAUUCAUAUAGCCGACCCUACUUAGUGGGAAAAGGCUUUGUUGUUGUUGUUGUUGUUGUUGACAUUCUAUCAGCAUAAUAUGCAAGUUUAAUACCUAAAACUUUAAAAAGGAGCUUAUAAUUGUAAAUGUCUAUAAUUGUAAUUGUAGAUAAAAUUAACAAUUAGAGAUAUUUGACAAGAUAUCUAGCAUAUUAAAAGAAGACAACCUAAAGUGGACAGGCAGUAGACAGGUAAAACCUUUUUUUGAGAAGAAACAAUUUUAUUAAAAGAAUAAAGAACAGCACAGAAGUGGAUAAGAGUCCACUAACUGACAACAAGGAAAAAACCAUUAGGAUUUGGCUACAGCAGCCAUUUCUAGACCUCGUUCACUUAACUGCAGCUAACACAUCCCAUAGUAUUUGAGAUAGAGAAACAUUCUUAAACUCUUUAGUUACCGAAGCCCAAAAAGCUGCCCAAUAUUUUACUCUCCCCCAAAGUUCUUCUGCCCCCACUCCAGUAUAGUCUUCAAAAAUCCUCUUGUUACGUUCCAGCCAUAUAUUCCAGAAAAUUGCCGAUACCAAGCAACCCCACAAAACUUUGGAUUUUUUCCUUUUUCCAAGUGCCUUAAAAUUUGUGCUUAGUAGCUCGAAACACCCUUUAGGAAUGACCCAACUUGCUUUAACCUCCUGAAACAAUUUCCACCACAGUUGGAUCGAGUAGGAGCAAUGAAGAAAUAUGUGAUUUACACUCUCCUCCUUGGCUUUGCACAGGCUACACCAAUGUGGUGAUAAGCACAUAAGAGGGUUUCUCCUUUGAAUUCUGUCACAUGUGUUUAGAUUCCCAUUGGCCACAAGCCAUACAAGUAUUUUAACCUUCGGAGGAACCUUUGAUUUCCAAAUCUGUGGGUAGGGUGGAAAAUAGUGCACACUCCCAUCGUUGCUCCGUAAUGAACGAUAGGAUUUGCAUGAGAACAAACCUGAAGCUUCCAGGUUCCACCUUCUGAUAUCCCUCUUUAAUGGAGACAAUCGAACCUCUUCCAAUUUCUGUAAUAAUGUGGCCACCUCUACUAUCUCCAUCUCAUUCAAGUUUCUCCUAAAAUCAAAGUUCCAACACAAAGGAUUUGCUGAAACUUCCACGAAGCUCGAGAUGUUUUGAUUAUGCUUCCUCGAUAGAAGGAAUAGUCUGGGGAAUUGCUCCUUCAACGGUCCCCCUGUUACCCAUCCAUCCUCCCAAAACCUCACCCUCUCACCGUUGCCCACCUCAAACGUGCAGCAUCUAAGAAACUGUUGAGAACCACUCGAAAUGUCUUUCCAUGGGCUUCGACUUGAAACCCUCCCAUGAGGAAGUGCUUCCCAUCCAUUAGCUUGUAGCCCAUACUUACUUUUUAUCACCUUGUGCCACAGAGACUGUGACUCCCUUGGGAAUCUCCACAACCACUUAGCCAAUAAUGCUUCGUUCUGAUUCCUCAAGUUCCCCACCCCUAGACCUCCUUCCUCUUUGUUUUUAGUGACUAACUCCCACUUGGCCAAGUGUGUUUUCUUACCUUCCUCCAUGCCUUCCCAUAGAAACCCCUUCAUUAAUCUUUCUAUACGUCCUCUUACCCCGCAUGGAAUUUUGAACAAGGACAUAUAGUAAAUCGGCAUGCUUCCCAGGACUGAUUGAAUUAGAGUUAAUUUACCCCCUCUGGAUAGGAAAGCCUUCUUCCAACUUUGAAGUCUUCUUUCCAUUGUUUCUACCACUGGAUCCCAAAAUUUUAUUGCUCUUGGCCUUCCUCCGAGGGGAAGCCCCAAAUACUUUAUCGGCCAGCACCCUACCUCGCACCCCCAAGAAACUGCCAGCCUGUUUAGUUUCUCAUUGUCUGAAUUUAUCCCAGCCAAAAAGCACUUAGCUUUGUUGAUUUUCAAUCCUGAGACCGAACAAAAUAAAUUAAGCACUUGGAUUAGGUUGUUCCAAACUUCCUCGUCUUCUGUCAAGAAGAAAAUGGUGUCGUCGGCAAAUUGGAGAUGAGAUAUCUCCACCUUUUCUUGGCCGAUACACAAGCCUUUGAUGAGAUCAGUUUCUUGUGCCUUCUCCAUUAACCUGCUCAGAACAUCGACUACUAAGGUGAAAAGAAAUGGUGACAGUGGAUCGCCUUGUCUCAAACCUCUUGAAGCUUGAAAUUUUCCCCUUGGCCUUCCAUUGAUCAAAACGGAGAAAUUUGCAGAGCUUAAACAUCCUUGCAUCCAUUUCCUCCAUCUAUUGCCAAAACCUUUUCUUUGUAGUACUUCUUCCAGAAAUCUCCAUUCCACAUGAUCAUACGCUUUUUCAAAGUCGAUCUUAAGCACCAAUCCCUUCUCUUUUUUCUGCCUCACCUCUUCUACCACUUCAUUUGCAAUGAGGACAGCAUCCAAAAUUUGUCUAUCUUUGACGAACGCCCCCUGAUUCGGAGAGACAGUGGUAUCCAAAACCUCCUUCAAUCUUGAAGCCAGUGUUUUGGCUAUAAUUUUAUACAAUCCAGUUACUAAACUUAUGGGCCUAUAGUCCGUCACUUUUAAGUAGACAGGUAAAACCUUUAUACUUAAAAUUUGCAGCAGACUUUUAUUUGACAUGAUGAAAAAGGUAAACAUGUCCUUUCAAUAAUGCAUCAGCCUCAAAAAAAGAAUUACAGCCGAAGCACUAACAAGACACAGUUAUCUUAUCUAAGUUUAUCACCAGAUUCAAUAAGUGCAUAAAAGCAAGGCACACACUACCUCGAACGUAAUCUAAUCACUAGCCCAAUUAGUAGGCAACUGAAAUGUAGACAAAACUAAUUAACAUCAGCACCGCAAUGCAAACAAAACUAAUUAACAAAAGCACCCUAAGAACUGAAAGAUGACCAGAAACAAACUCAUCCUCCCCCUUAGCACCUUGAACAAUCUCUGAAUUCUCUACAUCCAAACAACCCAAAAUAUUUUCAGAACACUACAUAUCCAGCACCAUGCCCCUUUUCUUUCCUCCAAGACUUGGGCUUCUCACAAAGUAAUUCAACACAAGAUUCAAAGAUUGCCCAAUUCAAAAUGGUCUCCCUAAACAGCCUUGUCCAUAAAAGACACACAAGAGGACAAUGGAGCAUUAAAUGAUUGAAAUUACAUGCCAAUGAGAAGAAAGAUACCAAAUCACUGUAAAACCAAGUUAUGAAAUUACAUACUCAUUACUCACUAAUAUAGGGGACGUAACCUCACUAAUAUAAAAUUAUCCUCUAUUGAAGCUCUCGAAUUAGUCUCUGGAAUGCUCUAGCCAUGUGCAAAAGGUGCCAUGACGCUGGGCCACCAAUUUCUAAUAUGUAUGCCAUUAAAAAUGAAUAAAAAUCUAGGCCACGCAGGUUGCUAGUAUCAAUUUAUUCAUGUAAAUCAGAUAUGAGUAAAUCUACCUUUGGUUACACAAAAUUAGCCGUUCAGGGAGAUGAAUAAGUUAGGUCAUUGCAAGUGUUUGCUUUUUCCUUUCUCUACAAGGACCAUAAAAAGGUGUGGACGAAUAAGAAGCUCAAAGUUAUGUGGGGCUGUUUGGUAAUGGCUGUGAUUUGGGUGGUUUAGAUGGAAAGGACACAAGGACCCCAAAUGAUAAAGAGAAAUUGGUGCUAGGUUUGCAAAUUGGCUCCACUUGAGACAAGCAAGACAUUCCAGAUCUGACAGCAAAGACAGGAAAUCUUUCAUUUCCUGCUCACCGAAAUUACAUGGAAGCCAAAAAUUCAGACAAAGAUAAAGAAGACCAAUAGCAAUGGAAUCAUUAAGUAUAAAGGUUUUACCUAUGGUUACACAAUAUUAGUUCACGAGCAUCGACUUGAACCACUAGCUGCGAUCUUGGGAAUCCAGACAUUCUCAUGCAGCCCAUCCCCCAAAGGGAAUUUUACUAUGUCUGGAACUUCCACAACCACAUCCCAAGAAUAACUUCAUUUCUUUACUACCCUUAAGGCUCCUUUUUCCUUAACUUGAGCCAACUCAUUCCACUAUUAAGUGAUCCUUCUUUUCUCGUAAUAAGUUUAUCAUUAUCCAUUCCAAUCUCCCUCCUCGCAAAUGAAAGUGUUUUUGUUACUAUUUAAAUUAAAGGAACAACAACAAUACAGCCCUUCAUUAGCUAAGAUACUGUUCAAAAGGCCCUGUAAGUUUAUCAGUAAUUCGUGUUAACACAGCAACUGGAAUUCAAGUUUAGAAGUUGGGUAGUCAAUUUUGUGUUCAACUCAAAAUUUAUCAGGUUCAUAAUUUCUCAACUCAAACUCAACCUGAGCCUUUUUUAACCUGUCCAUACGGGCAGAAAGUUUGGAUUGGCUUCAUGGAGAUCAGGCAGAGCCCAUUCAAGUUGCACCAAUACAUGCAUCACCAAACCACUUCCAGAGAAUUAAAGUUAAUCUAAAUUAGCAAAGAAGUUUGGCCCCAAAAAAAAUAUAUCACCAAAGAAAUUUUCUUGUGUAGUUGUGUGUACUGUAUGUGUACUGAAAUUCACCAUCCCGCAUGUAGUAGACCAUUCAUUCAUAUAGACUUUGAAACAUGACUGAAAUUUACUACUAGCUAGAUGAGAAUUGACCAACUGUACAUACGAAACCCAAGCUUUGAAUAAUCAAAAUGCAAAGCACACCUUCGAAUGGGCAUUGUGCCGCUUGCCAGCCCUCCACCGCCGAAUAGUCCCAUCAUUCAUUGUCCUAAACCUGGACUUGUAAGACCUGAUCAUGAAAUUUCAAAACCACUUAUUACCCAAAACUGUAAUAACAUUUCCAAAAGGAGAAUACAAAUCACAUAAUAUGAUGGCUGAGAAAACAAAAACCUACGAGUAAGACUUUAAUUUGGUUUUCUUUAACUUGGAUGUGACGGGAGUCAUCGGCUUUCUCCGCUUCUUACGCUCCCUUGACGAAACGUGCCGCACUUGAACCAUCUUAACAUACACAAACACCACACCACUUCUCUUCAAAACAAUGGUAUAUAAUUGCACAUCAAUGCACAUAACAAUACCAUAUCUAAACCCCCAAUUCACAUUGCCCUUUGAUCGAUUACAAAACAGACCAAAAUCAAAUAAAACCCCCAACUAAGUCCGGUAUUUGCUGCAAAAUUUUCUUCAUUUCCUAAUGAUUCAAGAACACGAAUAUAUCUUUCUCAGGCAUUUUCUCAGUAACCAAACAGGCAAGACCACCCACUGAAAAAACCCAACUUACCGAGAAAGGGAAUGGCGAGGAGCGAAGAGCAGUGACAGCCAGUGAAGGUUGGGUCGGUGAAUGGGCACUGAAAAGGGACCUGACGAUCCAUCUGUUAUCAAUUGAUGCGAAAGGGAGAGGCUGGUGAAGCAGCGGAGGGCAAGACCGAAGCAAUGAAGGAGAAGAGAGAGAUGAUGGGAGAGUUUGGGCUGAGUGCACAGAGAAAGAACGAAGCUUGGAGAAUAAUCUCUGCAUCGCCAUGGUUUCGUCCUCCAGAGCAAAAGGGUUUUACAGAGCCUUACCCAGCCAGCCGCUAUUGGGUUUUAGAGCUUCUCUUUCGAUUCGGGAAUGCAAAAAUGCGAGCGACUCCGUUCGGUAAUUCAGUCACUGGAGACUGGCUUCCCCAUCCAACGGUCAGAUAUUAUUCGCUCUUCACAUCUGACCGUCGAAUGAUAAAUGUAUGGCAUACAAGCACCUACCGUAGAAAUUUCUGAGUCACAAUCAUAAAGCACUGACGAUGUCAUGUCACUUCAGUUAUAUUUGUAAAUAGCAACCGAUAAAAAGACAUAACUCAUGUUACAUGAUAAACCCAAUCCAGCCAAUUCAUCAGUAACAAAAUUAUUUUCAGACAAAUUUACAAACUCAACUUUGAUGCAUAAGAGCAUGGUAUACAUUACCAAACUUCUAAAAGAUCCACUUUUGCAUUUAAAAUUAGUUGUAUUGUAAGCGUAGAAUCUUAUUCCACAAUAAUUUUCCUAAUUCUAUUAUUCCAUGCAAGUUGCAUCCCGAUAAAAACACCUUUAACUUUAGUACAUAGAAUCUCACUUCGACCAAGAUUAACAUAGAAACCAGAGAUCCAUGCACUCAACGAGUUUAUAAGGACAUCAUUCUCCUUGCGUUUGAUUUUUAAAACCCACUUGUUCCCAACGGCUUUAUACCCAAGCGGAAGGUCAACUAACUCCCAAACAAUAUUCUUAUCCUUGGUGCUCAUCCCUUCCUUUAUUGUAUUUAUCCAUUUAUCUUUGGCAGUUGAAGGCAACACUUAUUUGUAAGAAGAAGGUUCAUCUUAUUCUGAAAGUAUGAAAAUGUAGGCUUCCCCAGCCUCAAAAUGACAUUUGGGAAUGUGGUCUCUUUUGCUCCUUCAAACUCCUCCCAUAGGUGGGCAUAUUCUCUUGAGUGUCUAAGGGUACACUCCUACUAGGAUGAAGUCUUCCUACAUCAUCUUUAGAGCAAGUCCACCCAUGGACAUUGCUCGGGGACAUGGGAGAGGAAAGGGCCCGAGGCCUUGUGAACUUGCUCCAGCCUUGAAAGAGCCCGAGCGGAGGUGAGGCCCGAGCUCCGGGCCUGUGACGGGCUGACAGCCCGAGCCCCCAAGUGGGUGUGAUGCUAGCCCUGGCGUCUACCCCUUUUUUUAUUUUUUUCUGUCAGGCGCGUGCACCCUACUAGCGCGUAGGGGCGCAUCGCCCGACCAAUUUUCAGAAAAGUCAGUCAACUUUUCAGACAGAAAAGUUACCGUUGGGAAGCCACGUGACUUCCCACUGUCCGUUCGAUCUCAACGGCUCUUUAAUUUGGACCGUUGGAUCUCAACGGUAAAAAAAAUAAAAAAAAUAUUAUUUAAUAUCAACCGUUCGAUCUAAGAUCAACGGUCGAUAUUAAUAUGCUUUAUAAAUAAAAGAAAAAUAGUUUUAAAAUUAAGAAAAGUUACCGUUGUGACACGUGGCACAAUCUGAAGUGUUGGAAUUUAAUUUUUUUAAAAUCCAACGGCAGAGAUUAAUUAUUUGAAUAAAAAAAAAUUUAAAAUUAUAAAAAAUCCGAAAAAAUUAUCUGAAAAUAAAAAAAAAAAUGUUUCUACUUUUCUAUAAAUACCUUCUCAUUAUUAUCUACUUCACACCACAAUUUCUUAUUUUCUCAACUACUUUCAAUCACAUUCAUAUCUUUCUCUCAAAGUUUCAAUCCAAUUUUUUUCAACAAAAUGACUACUGAUGCAGCACGAAUUGGACAUUUCUUGAAGAUGUUGCAUUGUGUACUAGCUGGGUUGAAGUUACUCAUAGUUCCUGUACAGGUAAUGAGAUGCAGUUACGAGAAAUGUGGAGUCUUAUCCAUACCAAUUAUCUUGAAAAAAUGGGCGGGAGUAGAACCAAAGAAUCGAUGUCUAGUCGUUGGAAAUUACUUAGCCAAUCGUUUAGUAUUUGGAGAGACGCAUUGGCACAAGCAAGUAGUAAUCUUCGAAGUGGGGAAAAUUACACGGAUCAGGUAAUAAUAUAUUAUUUAUUUGUUUGCACUAUACCCAAAUUUACAUUGUAAUUAUUUGUUUGUAUUAUUUAUUUGUUACAUACUUUAAUUAUAAUUAUUUGUUUGUAUUAUUUAUUUGUUACAUACUUUGAUUAUAAUUUUUUGUUUGUAUUAUUUAUUUGUUUCCUACUUUAAUUAUAAUUAUUUGUUUGUAUUAUUUAUUUGUUACCUACUUUAAUUAUAAUUAUUUGUUUAUAUUAUUUAUUUGUUACAUACUUUGAUUAUAAUUUUUUGUUUGUAUUAUUUAUUUGUUACCUACUUUAAUUAUAUUUAUUUGUUUGUAUUAUUUAUUUGUUACCUAGUUUAAUUAUAUUUAUUUGUUUGUAUUAUUUAUUUGUUACCUACUUUGAUUAUAAUUAUUUCUUCUCCCCCAUUGUGUAGCUAAUUCAAGCACAAGCUUGGUAUGGUGCCAAAACCAAAAGCAAAAAUAAAUCAUUCAACUGGUGGGAAUGUUGGAAUAUUGUCAAAGAUUGUCCUAAAUUCAGAGUUGUGCCUGUCGGUCCAGAAGUUGUCAUGAACAGCACCCCACUAUACUCUACAUCUGAUAAUGGCUCGCAUGAAGAUGAUGCAGAAGAAGUGCCUGAAACGUCCAUCCCUAAACAAGCGUCGGGUUUGACCCGUUAUCCAAUUAGGCCUCAAGGUAAGAAGGCUUCAAAGAGAAAAGGAAGUGCUUCCAAGCAUGAUUAUGCAAAGUACAUGGAAGAACUUACUCGCCAUAGUGAAUUGACUUUGGCGCGGGAAAUUGCGAAAUUUGAGGCUGAUAAGGCUAGAGAGGAGGUAAAAGUUGCAGCUGUGGAGAGAUAAUUUCAAGCUAAUUAGAGAGAAAGAGAGCUACUUGGGCAAGAAAGGGAACUGGUUAGAAAAGAAAGAAUGACUCAACGAGAUCGUGAGAUUAUGAACACACCUUUAGAAGGGAAGUCUCCAAAUUCUAAAUAUUUUUGGAAGUCGGAGAAAGAGGAUGUGGUGCGUAGAAGGUGUGCAAGAGAAGCGAGAGCAAGAGGAGAUGGUCCUAGCAGCACAAAUUGGUUAAGUGAUGAUGAAUAUAGUACUUUUUGUAAUCGGAGCCCAUAGUUUUCCAACCACCUUGGGUUGUAAUUUAUUAUUUAUUUAAUUGAGUAUUUUUAUGUUGUUUCCAAUUUAUUGAAUUUAGUACUUUAUUUAAAGUGAGAGUAAAUUUAUUUAAUAUGGUAAUAUAUUUAUACUAUAAGAGAAUCUUUAUUCAAAUGACAUAAACACACCAAAUAAAAAACUCACGAAAUGAACACCAAAUAAAAUGUAUCAAAUAAAAUUACAUAAACACACCAAAUAAAAUUACAUAAACACACCAAAUAAUAAAAACCUCAUAAUAAAAACCUCACUAAGAUAAAACACACCAAAUAAUAAAAACCUCACUAAAUGAACUAAAAUAAAACACACCAAAUAAAAUUACAUAAACAUACCAAAUAAAAAAACCUCACUAAAUGAACUUAAUUAUCUUCAGCUUGUUUCAAUGCCCACUGGUGCUCUAUCAAGUCAUUUUGCCUGGCAUUGUGCAUGUCUGGCCUUUGAAAUGCAAUAUAUCGUUGAAUGACCCUAUCAUUGUAACGUCCAUCCCUUUCUAAUGGCUCAUGUUGCAUGGGCUCAUCGGUAGCGUCAUGAGCACAAUAUAUACGUGUUCUUGAAUUGUUCAUCGUGUCUGGCUUAUAUUCAUCAACGGCUUCAUAAUCGUACUCAUCUUCCACAAUCAUGUUGUGACGAAUGAUGCACGUCAUCAUGAUGGAUCGAAGCGACUCUACAUCAAACAAUCUGGCAGCACCUAUAACGAUCGCCUAGCGAGCUUGAAGGAUACCGAAACAACGCUCCACAUCCUUCCUGCACCUCUCUUGACACCUUGCAAAGUGUUUUUCCUUUGCACUUCGCAGAUGUAACACUGUUUUGACAAAUGUUGACCACAUUGGGUAAAUGUCGUCAGCUAGGUAGUAUGACUCGUCGUACAUACGUCCGUUGACCUCAUACAUGACUUUUGGUGACUUUCCUUGCAGGACAUCGUUGAACACUGUGUUGGAAAUAUGCCCUGAAAGUCAAUCUUGGGAAGAAAUCUUUCAGGACAAAUGAAUCGAUGUAUGGAUGAUUCUUAUACAUCAAAUGGCAAAGAUACUAAUUAGGACUAUCUCAAUAAACGAAAUAUGUCCUGAAUAGUGAAUCCAUGGACAAUGGAUCGAUUGAAGAAGUAAUCUAAUGAUGUUAGACUACAGAGACCUUCUUCACAUAAUCAGAUGUCCAAAAAGGUUCCUGGUCAUUGGAUUGUCGGAGGGAUACUGACAAUGCGUAGACCGGUACAUACUAUGUCUGCUUCAAUUGGAAGGAUGGAAAGUCUCAUCCCAUUCGUGUUGUGACACUAAGACAAGUAUGUAGGUGCUCAUUAAGGGAAUGAGUUCACUGAACACAAUCAAACGGGAGUACUUGCAUGGAGGUCUACUCACAUGUCAAGCAAGUAACUCUAAUGGUUGGAAAGAUGUAAGUAAUCCUUAGACCUGAGGCAUCGUCGUUGUCUUGUGGUUAAGUACUUAAUCUUUGAUUAUGUCAAAGUCUCCCCAUUCGAGGGUGUCCACGGCAUAAUUGGGGUUAAGCCACUUAGUCGUGAAGGCAAGUGUAUGCGCAACAAGGAAUCUCUAAUCCUCGAUAAGAGAGGAAGAAUACUCUAAGAUAUGAUUCGGGAAUCUUCGGCCGAAGUAUCGAGCGUAAUAAAGGAAAGCGUUCCUAUAUGACUCAAUUGGAUCAUAUAAGAAGGAAUAAUCACAUUAGGGGUUUGACAUGAUAUAUCCAUACCCUAAUGAUGUGAUUGAGAGUAUUGUAUUAGAGAAGGAUUGAAUUACAUUGUAAUUCCAACUGACUAGGUUCUUUGAAUAAACUUCUACAUUAGCUUGGGUAGCUAUGACAUAUGGUUAGAUGUCACUCAUAGCUUGUGAGUUUUUCUAGAUGAUUAAAUGUAGUCGUCAAAGAAGAAAGGUGAAUUAAAAUGAAGUUUUAAUUCACUAAGUGAUUGAAUUAAAUAUGAGCAAUUGGAUUGAUGUCAAUCACCUCACUGCCUUGCUAAUUAGAACCUAAAAGGUUGUUCACCAAUACACUAUUGUAGUGAGUAACUAAUGGAUGAUGGAAACAAUUAAUUGGAUUAAUUAUGUGUUGUGAUUAAUUUAGAAAAGUCUAAAGAAAUCAUAAAAGCGAUAAAGAUCGUUUUGGGCUUAAAGAAACGUUCGGGUUUAAUUAGGCCCAUUGGGCCUAAACCCAUUGGGCUUUUAUUCAAGCAUUGGAUGACUUGAAAUAAUAAAAGCCCAAAGCCCAAAAACAACACAAAGGGGCCGGCCACUUUAGGUGAAGAAAUGAGAGAUAUUUAGUCAAGUGUUGACUAGGUUUCUUUUGUCUAUAUAAGGAACUUUAUAAGAUAUUGUUCAUUAGGGUUUUUUGUGAGUUUUGAACAACAAAAGAGGCAAAAGAAAAUAGCCAUCUUGAACCACAAAGGCCGGCCACCAAAGGGGAGUUUUUACUAACAUCUCUUACACCCUUUUGGUUAUUCCUUCAUCCUUCUCACUACACUAGUGGGUGAGGAUCUUUAGAGGUUUCCUACUUUGGGAACUUGAAGAGAACCUAGGAGCACUCAUUGUAACAAAGUGGAGGAGGCAAGGAGGGAAGCUAGGCUCAAGGAUUUCAAGGAGCAAAGGCCUUGGAGGUGGUCCAUCCUUGGUCUUAAGUCUAGAUCAAGAGGUAUAAGACUAACCUUCACUUUGUUCUUGAUUCUAAAAUUGUUUUGAUGCAUUAUAUAUAAACCUAUGAACCUUGAAGGGGAUUUGCAUGACUAUAGCUUUGAUAAUAUGUUAUAAAUGCUUCCGCUGCUUUCGUAUAUUAAUUUUAGAUUUGUAUAUGCAUGAUAGUCAUUAUGAAAUCCCAUUCUAGAAUCUCAUAAUUUUCCCUUCACACUGGGGAUUGGGCAAGGACGUUGAGGUCAUUUUGAGCUCCCGGAACCCCAAAAAAGGUGUGCCAAAUCCAUGUAUCAAAGGAUGCCACCGCCUCCAAAAUGAUACUUUUUGCCCCUUUUUAAUCUCCAUAAGCGCCUUGCCAUGCACUUGGACAAUUUUUCCACGUCCAAUGCAUACAAUCAUCCCAAGAAAACCUCGCAUCUCGGCCUUCUUCAGAAGCCUUUCCAAAUCUAUGUGAGUAGGUUUCCGAAGGUACUCUGCGGUGUAGAUAUAUUUGAUUGCUCCACAAAACCUCAUCAGGGACUCAAGAAUGGUUGAUUUCCCCAUCCUCGCUAUCUCAUCCACUUGGUCUGCAGCUGCUCCAUACGCAAGCAUCCGCAUCGCAACAGUAAUUUUUUGCUCGGGAAGGAGACCCAUAGCACCACAAGCAUCAUUCUUUUGCACAAAGUAAGAAUCAUGGUUGCAAACAACAAUCAUGAUUUUGUUGAAUAAAUUUCGUUUCAUUCUAAAACAACAUCUGAAGUACAUAUCAGGAAAUGCACUAUUAUGGACAAAAUAAUCGUCCAACAGCUCAUCACCUCGUUGGUGCCUGCUUCUAUCAAGGUUUUUGGAACGGGUGAGCUUGCAUAUCUGACCCACAGCUUGGAUGACUCGACGAGAAUGUGAGUCUUUGGCCAUUCUUGCUUCGUCAUCUCUUCUUCUCCGCUCAUCAUCCUCUUCCUUCUCAUUUUAGGCUAUAUGAAGAUUGAACAUUCCUUCAUAUUAGUUAAGCAAUUCUUCCUCUUCUUGAUCGAUUUCCCACAUCAUGCUUGAAGAAGAAGACAUUGUAAGUAGAAACUAUGAAUAAUGAUAAAGAUUUUGAUUUGGUGAAGCAGGAAGCAGAAACUAUGAAUAAUGAUAAAGGAAUUGAGAAAAUUGGUGUGAGAUUGGGCAAGGACGGAUGAUGGAUUAUAUGGAGGAUUCUGAAAUGAUUAGGUUGUAGAUAGUGCCACGUGGCAUGCCGUCAUUCGUUAAAAAUCUCAUCGAAAUCUAUCUUAAAAGAUUUUGAAAAGAUAACGACAUGUGGCACGACGACAUUUGAUAAAAAUCUUAUCGAAAUCCAUCACCAAUAAUUAUCUUUUCGGAUAAUGACACGUGGCGCAAUGAGAACGAUUUAAAAUCUGAUCGAAAUCUAUCCUCAAAUAUUCUGAAAAGAUAACGACACGUGGCACGAUGACACUGGAUAAAAAUCUUAUCGAAAUCUAUGACCAAUAAUAGUUGUUUUGGGUAAAUGACACAUGACGCAAAGAGAACGAUUAAAAUAUUUUAUCCGAAAUUACCAAUAAAUUUAUUUAGUAUUAUUUUGUAAAAAAAAUAUUUAAUAAUAUUUUAUUACCUAUUGCCAGGGCUAUUCAAGUGCAAAAGUGAAGAUGCAAAAGACAGUUACUGUUCAUUAGGGCAAUUAUUGUUCACAGGGUGGAUUGAAUAGUGGAUUGCUUGGGGAGAGGGCUCUAAGAGUGGAGUUGCUCUUAGCAACCAUCGGCUUAGAAAUUAACUCCCUUCAUUCGCUUGAAGAUGUUGUGAGUUUAUCUUGCUCCAACUUAUGGAGAACAAGUUUCUUGACCGUAUCACCAAGUUUUGGAAAGUCAUUCUCUAUGAAUUCCACAUCACAUGACUCGAUCUCGGUUCUCCCUCAAUCUAGAUGUUCACCAUACAUCACAUAACCUUUCGAGUUUUUACAAUAUUUUAUAAAGAUAUGUUUAUUCGCUCUAGGACCUAACUUUCCAAACUUAUGUGAUGGAUAUGAACAAAACCAGAACAACCCCAUGAACGCAAAUUACCUAGAUUGGGUUUUCACCAUUCCAAAGUUGGUAUGGGAUUAUUUCCUUAAAGAAGUUCGUGCAUUGAACCCACAGACCCCGAAGGCCAGAGGUAAUUCCUUGAGGCAACACUGCAUGCUCUUCUAAAAAACAUGACUUGACCUUAACAAUUCAUUUAAGAAGUCUGCUGACUGGUGAUUUUGUAGAUUAUUUUGACUCUUUUCUCACUUUUGGUUAUUAUAGCGUUUUAGCCAAGGCUAUUUCUAACUACGGAAUUUCACCGAGUGCUAAGGGGCGACCCCAACUCAAAAAUAUUUUUCGUUUUGAGGGGGUUGGGGGGGGGUCGAUGUCUAUUGUAGGUAGUUUUACGUUUACAUUACAAAUAAACUAUUUCCAUGGCCUUGAACAGUAAUCACAAAAGAGCAACAUUUUCUUUGCCCCAAGGCUUGUCCUCAAAUUUCACCAAGUGCUAUAAUCUUAAAUUUUAAUGCCUUUCUGCUAGUCAUAUUUACAAGUCACCAUGCCAGUUUGUGUACAAUUGGUUUUGUUUUAUUUGAAAUCUUUAGAAUUUGUUAUCAAAAUGUAAUUAAGUUUUUUGGUGAAAAUUUGAGGUUUACUGUGGCAUUAGCAAUUUCAAAAUAUGAGAGUUGUCAAUGAAUGAUUGAACGUUUGGGUUCAAAAUUGCUGAUUGAAAGGAGAAGUUGGAUAGUGAUACCGUCCGUAAGAUAUUCCUUCAAGCAAUGAGCAACUUUGAUGGUGUACAGGUACUUGAUAUAUUCCAAUGCUCAUGUACUCUGACGCAAACUCAAUUGGAACUUUUUCAGUAUUCAAAACAUUAUAUUUCUCCUAGUCACUUAUGGAUUGCUUGGAAGUCCAAUUGCGACUUUGUAAUAUUACGUUAGAAUAUCAUGUGCCCACUAGGGUUUAGUGAAUUUGAGUAAUAUGGGCAAAAUGGGCUUAGUGAAUUUAAGGAAGUAUAGAUGCAUAAGGAUUUACAAUGGGCAUAUGAUGGCCGUAUCAUAUUAGGGUUAUGUACUCUAUAUUAGUAAGGAUUGAUGUUGGUGCUACGCGCAUUACAUUUAGUACUCUCCAUUCAGUAUUGUAAUUUACUGUGUAGAAACCAAUACAAGAAUUCUUAGUAUCAUGCAUUGAGGGAUUCAACAAGAAUAAGAUGUUAUUGGAACUCAGCGAUCCAGGAUAGUAGUCUAGUGUGUUUUAAUUAUAUGAACAUCUUAAAUUAACGACAUAAACAUGAUUGUUUUUUCGUCGCCACAGUAAAACGUCAUCUGCUAUAAAAGAUAAUGAUUAGUUGUCAUGCAUCACAAUAAACUGUCCACUUUUCAUGUAUCAUGACAAAUAUAAUUGUCAUUUUGAUGUUGUUAUGAAGAUUAAAAAAGGAGGCAUAUUAUUUCUAUACAGUUUAUAACUAUCAUCAUCUAAAACAAAGGAAAUAGAGGGCACUAGACUGCAUGACCAAAAACUCAAGCGCAGGGAGGAAAGUCAACAAAACAUCGUCUGCAGUAUUCCCUUCACGGCCGUUCAGCAGGUACCGUUUGGUAUGUGGGACGGAACGGAAUGGAGUGGGACAAGGCGUUUCGUUCCACGUUUGGUGCGCCUAAAACGGGUGGAAUGCGCUGUUCCACGCGACGAAUUUUGGGUGAAUUUUCGUUCCGCCUCAUCCCCUGGAACGACUCGUUCCAUAUCCGUCGAACACAAAAUUAUAACCUCUGCGUCUCUUUCUUCUUCCUCCUUGUUUCCAUCCGAGGGCAUCUUUGCUCCCUCUCCGUUCUGUCCCGUCUUGUCCCGUCUGGUCCCAUCUCAUUCCGUUCUAUCUCGUCCCAUCUGCAUACUAAACGAUAAGUUCACUACAAUUUGUAAUUAAGAAAAAAUAUAAAUUGACAGAUUACGAUUUAACGGAAUGACCAAAAUUAUAAUGUUUAUGUACCUUGUGUGGAUUCGAUUACCGCCGAUCUUUCUUCAUAACAUAUAAUAAUUUAGUCUAUUAAGCUAUUGUUUAUCUUAAAAAUAAUAUAUAAUCCUGUACAAUUAUUAGAGAUAUUGUCAUACAAAAAAAGAAAGUAUAUAAAAUCAGAUGGCUGAUUAUAUGGCGUAACUCUAGCAAAUUCCAUUAUGACAUGCAGCUUUCCCGCCGCACAGAACAGGUGGAAAGUAAAAAGAGACAAAGAAAUCGAGUGGCAUGAUUAGGAUCCUCUCCGGAUCAUUUUUACGGGAAUUCUAAACAUUCUCAUAUCAUAAUCGUUUAUUGUAUAUCGUGUAAUCAGUUUUUAUUAGAUACUAUUUAUAUUUAAUUUUAAAUAAAUAAAUUUUAAAUAAUUUCUAACCGUACGAUGUACUACGAUAAAUGGUAAGAAUAUGAGAAUUUUUAAAAUCCUCACAACUUGAAUCCGAAUAGGAUCCAUCUCUGAGUGGGAUAUCCUUUUAUUUUAUUUUAAUUCCUGUAUUAAUGCAAUACAUUGACAAGAAGCAAUGCCAAUCAAUUAGCUGAAUAAAUUGGAUUUGAUGCCAUACAAAAGCAACAACCAGCCCCCACGCUUUUUUCUCCUCCUCGAUUAAUACUGAUAACAACUUAUAUAACACGGAUUUUUUUUAUCCUCAAUCAAACGUCAUCUACAAGAUACCACGAUGACAUUAUGAAUACAAUGACUCAAGUAGUCAACUACGUCAACUAAUCACGCUUGCACAUGCAACUAAAAUAAUAAGAAAACCUAUGACCCAAGCACCCAAAAAGCACACAAUAAAGGAAGAAUAAAAUACACAAGAAAAAUGAUAAGUUUAACACUAUAUUUGGAUGAAGAAAUUUAAGAUUACUAAGGAAUUUUAAAAUGACGGAAAUUUAAAUAAUGAAAUUUUAUUCUAUAGAAUUUGUGAAUUUUCUUGUUUGAGUAACCUAAAAAAACAAUAGAAUUGAAUACGAAAUUUGUUGUUUUUAAACUCUUAAUCAUAGAAAUUGGAAAAUGACACUUAUUUACAUGGAAUUUAAACUUGGGAAUUCGAGGUCCCAAAUUCCAAGUUUUUUUCCAUGCGGAAAUUCUAAAUUUCUAUGUUUAUGAAUCCAAAUAAGGGAAUUUGUGCAUGUCAAUUUAUAAAUUAUGUCUUUAAUUCAAAUUUCAAGUUUAUUUCCCUUAUCCAAACAUAGUGUAAGACUAGGGGUGGGUUCAAAAAACCGAAAACCGAAAAAAACCGAAAACCAAACCGAACCGAGGCCGAAAAAAACCGAACCGAAAAAACACCGAACCGAAACUGUCAAACCGAACCGAACCGAAUCUGACCGGUUCGGUUUCGGUUUUUGAGGUUCGGAAACCGAACCAAACCGAACCGAACUGAUAUAUAUAUAUUUAAUUAUUUUUUUAACUAUUAUAAAUAGGUUAGUCAUACAAUCAUAACAAAGCAUACCUUGUUGCUAAGUUGGUUGCGAUGAACCUUUUCAAGCCCCAAGGCACGGGUUCGAACCUCCAGGAUGUCCGAGAUGUUUUUUAAAUUUUUUGGAGAACUUAACAAAACCCUUUAACCCUUUAACCCUAGCAGCCAUACCCAUACCUUUUAUUUUUUUUCAUUCCCUUCCUCUCUCUCUCGUUCCCUGCCUCCUCUCCUCCAGUGUAACCCUAACCCAGCGCAGCCGAGCCUCCUCUCUCUCUCGCUGGGUCUUCAACUUCAAUCGCUCUGUCUCUCUCAAUCUCUCGGGCGACCCACGACGGCCCGACCCUUUUCCCUUAUCCCUCUCCUCUGUACUCUGGACCCUCUCUCCUUCCUUCCCAACUCCGCCGCUCUUCCGCUUCGUCUUCUUCCUUCACAGCGACCUGCAAGUGUCGCCAUCUCACUCGUCGUCACUGAUUUGCUCUCAGUUUCUCACCGCCAUGACCUGUGACCCACGACCUCUUGCUGUUUCGAGUCUCGACCCACUACUUCGUUCCUUUGCAAGGUUAGUCUUAUAAUAAUUUCUCUCAUGUUUGUUCUACAUAUUUUGUUUUCAAUUUGAUGCGUUUUGCAGAAUUUAUUUUCAAUUUCAUGGGUUCUGUAGCUUUUCAAUUUCAUGGGUUUUGGUUUUGCAAUUUGUUUUGGGUAACUUCAGUUAUGAAAACUAUUAGUUGAGGUUUCAUUAAUUUUAUAUUUUCUUUUGGUUUUGCAAGGUUAUUUUCUUUCUGUAACUGUCAUUCCUUGUCGUAUCUAGCAAACUUGUGGAAUUGUUUGUUAAUGUUGUCAUCCUUGGAGUUAUGUUGCAUUUGAUGUCGCGGUGGUACUGUUGCUAAAUUGCUAAUUGAUUUGCAUACAUGCAGUGCUCUGGUGUUUUCUCAGGAUGUCUCUUUUGCUAUUUGAAUGCAGGGAACUCAAAUUAUUAAUGAAUCUGAGGAUCAGGACACGACCGAUUUGCAUAAGUGUAUAGCAUACAUAUGUGACUCGGCACCAAACCUAGAUAAGUCUAAUGUAUGUUGUGUAUUAUUAUCGUUCCAACAUUCGUUUUGUUUUUCUACUGGAAUUGAGUCUGAUUUUGUAGGUGCUUUCGUAUAACUUUCGGUAACUAAAACUGUGUCCUUACUCCUUGCAACUUAUUGUGAGUUGGGUAGUCAAAUUUGUUGAUUACAGAUUUUGACACUUUGCUAAAUAGACUGCUAGUUUUGUUUUUCACCUCUAUACAUGAACUGAGUUAUGUCGAUUGGAAAACAUCAAUGUGUUAUGUCGAUUCUCAAACAUUCAAAUAAUUCUCAUAUCUGAUGAUUGCUUCAUCCAUCUUCACACCGCCAUGAGAUCCAUAUUCAGUCUUCUGUUGAAGGCCCUCAUUGUGGACUCAUACCCAUUGGGAUGCCAUCUGGAAGUACUACAACCACUGGACUUCAAUGGGAUCUCGGUGAGUAUCUCUUAAGAGCGUAAGGCUAGUUAAUGCAUACUUUUAUUGUAUUAGGGGUUCACUUAGCAUAUACUUUUCUGGUCACCUCUUCCUGUUCUGACCUGCUUAAAUGUGACCAAAAAGGGAAAAGGCGUGUCUAAUAUUGAUUUCAUUGUUCAUGUUUCGAGUUAUCUAACAGCCCGUGCUUUACUUUUCUUUUCCAGCUGAAACGGAGAUGAGGUUUGGUGGUCUGAUAAGUACAUCGAAUAUCGUCAAGGGAGAGAAAAUAACAGUGCAGUCAGAUUCAGAUCUUCUAUGGACUAUAAGCAUUAAAAAGAUGUAGUGCAUUUGGAGAUGAGAUGGGCAAAACGAUUUGAGUUUUUUUAGAGAGAGAGAGAGAGAGAGAGCGGCUUUUUGAUGAUUUCAGCGAGUAAAUGCUGUAAGGAAGAAAUACAGAAUGAUAAAGUGUUGAUGCUAGCACAGGAGAAAAAAAUGGCACUCUGUGAUAUCUGUGGUUCAUUUCUUGUGGCCAAUGAUGCUGUAGAGAGAACUCAGUCUCAUGUUACAGGGAAACAGAAUGAUAAAGUGUUGUGGUUGUUUUGCAUUUUUUGGAUGAAAAAAAAAAAAAACCGAAAAAAACUGAAACCGAACCGAAAAAACCGAACCGAAAAAAAAA
Molecule: long non-coding RNA, 78478 nt
Filed under: Malus domestica (apple)
Lineage: Eukaryota; Viridiplantae; Streptophyta; Magnoliopsida; Rosales; Rosaceae
Description: long non-coding RNA (MDOM_LNC005470)
Source: RNAcentral